GUUUAAACUUACACACAAGGUCCUUCACCCCAUUUCUCUCCACAUUUGAAGCACAAACCAUUCUUACUCCUUUCCUCCAGUUCUGGUGGACCUAAUCUCUUUCCCUUACCCCCUUCAUUUUUUAUUUCACUUUUUUCACCUCCCCCUAAACUGGUUUUGGCACCUCCUUUCCUCUCUCUGUUAAACUCUCCAGGACUUCUAAACCAGGGUAACACUCCCAUAUCCUUCCACUCCCCUUUGUCUCUGUUUGCAAUUCCCUUCUUUGCCUCAUUCUUCUCUUCCAAUAACAACGCUAUAUCCAUGAGAUCAGCUAAGUCAUGGUAGUCAUAGAGUUUCAUCUCAGCUUGUAUUUCAUGUUGGAGUCCAUUGAUGAAAAUACUAUCUAGCAUGACUCUCUUCCCUUCUUAAUGUUGCUACCAACAUCUCAAACUUUUCACAAUAUUCCAUUACCGUUCCCCCUUGUUUCAAGCUCAACAACGGGCAUAACAGAUUAUGAAGUAACCCAGGUUGAAAUCUGCAUAUCACCGCUGCUUUAAACUCCUCACGAAUCCUCAAUGGUGUUUGAUCCUCCCACCAUUGAAACCGGUUAAGAGCUCUUUCUUCCAUCGCUAUCAUCAUCGCAUCCAGCUUGUCACAUUCAUGUACCUCGUUCAAACGGAAGUAUCGUUCACCCUAAUGAUCCAUCCAUGAACGUCCUCCCCUAACAUUUCUGCCACUGUUUACAGUGGUUGGUUUUUACCUCACAGUUAUGUGUUUCCACAAUAUGUCAUUUAUGUGAUUGGUUUGUUCGAUUUUUUUAGCCCAUGUAGUGUGGGUAGAAAGAAUGUAAAUAGGGUACUUAUGGGCUGAUUUUGUGUUGUAUAUUUAUUAUUAUUAUUAUUAUUAUUAUUAUUAUUAUUAUUAUUAUUAUUAUUAUUAUUAUAGGUUAACUAAUUUUUGGUGUCCUUACGGCUCUUAAUAGAUAGAAUAUCCUCUCGCGUGCAAUUCCGACAUCAUAUGUCAACUGAUUCCUUCUUAUGUCUUUGGUUUCUUUUUAUUCUCGACUCAUGUAAUGUAAGCACAAUUUUACAAGUACACUUAUUAUUGUUCAUUAUAUAGUUUUCAUUAACUAUCAUUGUUGUUGGGUUCGAAGGACUCUUAAGAAGGAGCUUAAGAAGGAGCGUAAGGUUGAUAAUGUUCAGAAAUGGAUUUGGUUUCAACAAAUUUUAGAAGCUUUGGAGCACAUACACGGGGAAGAAAUAAUUCAUCUUGAUUUGAAACCGAAUAACAUAUUCCUAGAUGAUGCAGAUGAAAUCAAAGUCGGGGACUUUGGUCUUGGUAAGAUCUUGAAUCCCAUUCGUUGUUUAUUUUCUUUUCCUUCGCGUAUGUUUCCAAUAUUUUUGCGUAUGUUUCCAAUCUUGAAUCCCAUCAAUUCUGUUAAUGAUGUGUGGCACUGGAAAUCCCUGAUUUCUAGGAGAGCUGUUAGUAGUGAGGAAUAUAUGGACGAGGGUAGUGUUUGUUAGAAAUCUCUGGUAUGCAUUGAAACUGUUUCCUUACAAAGAACUCUAUUUCAUACUUCAUUUACACUGUUUGAUUCAAUAAAUUUUUCUGUAAGUUCUAUACAAAUAACUCUAUUUCACAAUGCUUUAUACAUUUUCAAUUAUCAAUAUAAUGUAUCUUGUAAUACAGUUGAGGUUGCUGGCAAAUGCCUGCACAUAAACACAUUUUCCUGCGUGUGCAGUAACAUUAUGUACCUCUCUGUACUGUUUCCCUAUUUUUGAUUCGGUCUAAAAUUCAUAUAAAACAAUGCCCUGUUAAUGUUUGAGCUUUCUACACUGGAGGGAGUAAUGGUUGUUUGUGAAUGGAUUAUCACAUUUUCUGUUUUUAUUUCUUCUUUCAGCCGAGUUCUUGGAGUCAGAUUCAGCCCAUCCUGCUGAAACAACUGAAGUUUCCAGUGAUGACACUCAAGAAAAGAAACAAUCUGUGAAAUGGUUAUAUACAGCUCCUGAGAUUGAUAAUGGAUGGGCGAAAAUUGAUUGCAAGGUAUAAAGUGUUCAACAUUAUCCUUUUCUAGCCGUAUAAUAUGUUUGCUUUGAUGAAAAUGAUAUAAUUAUUGGGUUUAUUUGAUGUGCAGGCUGACAUGUACUGCUUGGGAUUGAUUUUAUUUGAGCUUUUUCAUCCUCCAUUUCAGACAGAAAUGGAGUGGUUCAAUACUUUACUCAGUCUGAAAAAAGAAGGGAAACCUCCAACUGACUGGGCUGCAGAGUUUCCAGAACAAGCAUCCUUAUUGCAGAAGUUAAUUUCGCCAGAUCCCUCAAAACGGUCAUCUGCCACGGCACUUCUGCAGGAUGUAUCAUUGUUUCCUCCACAAGAGGAGUCUAAAUUGUUGGACGGUAAGUUUCUAUGACCUUUAUUGUUAAUUCUGCUACUUAUUGUUAUCCACCAAACGAAUUCAUCAUCUUAUCUAUUAAGCGGGGUCAAUUACAUGAAAUAUGUAUUUUAGGACAAACUUUAGACAUUAUGAAUCUUAAGUUCUUCUCUAGAUUAUCUUUUACGUUUUUGUUAUCCUAAAUCAGUAUCAGUUCUUUCAGAUAUCCUGCGGGCAAUGCAUGAUCCAGUGAAUAGAAGCAUUUACAAUCAAAUUGUAAUGGCUAUCUUUGACGAAGAGAUGCUAAGAAAGCAGCACAAUCAUGUUGAUGAAUUGAGAUUAAUUGGAGUUAACAGUUCAUCGAUGCAGAUCCGAGAUUGUGUUAUGGAUGUCAACAAAACAAUUUUCAUGAAAUAUCAUGCUAAACAUCUGGAAACAUCUCCAAUGCGAUUAGUGAAUGAUUCAUCUCAAUUUGACAGGUCAAUGUCCUCCUUUAAUUUCUUUACUAGUUUGCAAUUUAGUUAUUGUAGACUUGAUAGCCUAUAUAAGAGAUGAGUGGGUUUUAUCUAAUGUAUAGAUUAGAUCAAACCCACUAAUCUAUUAUCUAGGCUGUCAAGUCUACAAUAACUAAAUCGCAAACUAGUAAAGAAAUUAAAGGAGGACAUUGACCUGUCAAAUUGAGAUGAAUCAUUCACUAAUCGCAUUGGAGAUGUUUACAGGUGUUUAGCAUGAUGUUUCAUGAAAAUUGUUUUGUUGACAUCCAUAACACAAUCUCGGAUCUGCGUCGAUGAACUGUUAACUCCAAUUAAUCUCAAUUCAUCAACAUGAUUGUGCUGUUUUCUUAGCAUCUCUUCGUCAAAGAUAGCCAUUACAAUUUGAUUGUAAAUGCUUCUAUUCACUGGAUCAUGCAUUGCCCGCAGGAUAUCUGAAAGAACUGAUACUGAUUUAGGAUAAUUUAAGAAACUUAACAAAAACGUAAAAGAUAAUCUAAAGAAGAACUUAAGAUUCCUAAUGUCUAAAGUUUGUCCUAAAAUACAUAUUUCAUGUAAUUGACCACGCUUAAUAGAUAAGAUGAUGAAUUCGUUUGGUGGAUAACAAUAAGUAGCAGAAUUAACAAUAAAGGUCAUAGAAACUUGCCGUCCAACAAUUUAGACUCCUCUUGUGUAGGAAACAAUGAUGCAUCCUGCAGAAGUUUCGUGGCAGAUGGCCGUUUUGAGGGAUCUGGCGAAAUUAACUUCUGCAAUAAGGAUGCUUGUUCUGGAAACUCUGCAGCCCAGUCAGUUGGAGGUUUCCCUUCUUUUUUCAGACUGAGUAAAGUAUUUUAGCUUGCUUUUUGAAAGGCAUGAAAAAUCUGAGACAAUAUAAAUCAUGUGUAGACAUCUUUAUUCAGAAGAUAUGAGGUGUCAUAUGUUUACAAAAGAGCAGUUGGGCAUUCAUCACCAAACCGCUACCUUCAGGUACCAUUCUACAUGUUAUUUCUUACAAACUAUUCCGUAGUUCUCUUUUUUGACUCAAUCAAAAGAAAUAACCAAUACUUUUCCAUUUUGUUGUUGGUUUUUUUGGUGAAAGAAGAAUAUAAAAUAUCUGUGGUAUUUUGGUCUUACAUUCCAUGAAUAAUCUGUUUGGACUUUGCGACUAAUGGUUUGUGGUUUAUUGAUUAUUCAACCAAUUAAUUCAAAACCAUUUUCCCACAGGGAGAUUUUGAUAUUGUCACCUCGUUUACUUCAGCAUCGGCAGAGGUCGUAAAGGUGAUAUUUUCUACUGUAUCCUUGUGGAUUUUAUAAUUUCUUUUCGCUUUAUUUUAUCUUUGUUAUUAAGUUCUGCAUGUUAUAAAUAGUUAUCUGUGAUAGUAUUUUGCUGUAUGGUAGUCGUAAAACUACUGCCAAUAAAAGGAAAAAUCACAUAUUUCGUUAGCAUGGUCAAUAAAUCUAUACUUUUCGGUGACAGUAUUUACUAAACCUGUAUUUUGUUCAUUUUGUGUCUCUGAAGCCUUUUAGUCUGUUAUAUAAUAAUGUUGAUCACUUACUAAACAUAGCAUAUUUACCAAUCGUAUUACAGGUCACGAAGGACAUAGUGACUUCUUUUUUCGAUGAAGAUACAUGUGACAUUAUUUUAAAUCAUGCGGGACUGUUUCCUGCAAUUUGGUCAUGGACUGGAAUUAAGGUAGAAGACAGACCUAAAGUAGCAGAGGUAUGUUAGCCAUGUAAUCAAGAAACCCAUAUCAUUAAGUUUCUAAGAAUAUAGUAUGACUGAUCUUUGAUAUUUUGAAGCUUCUUUCAAUGAUGGGUUCUUUGAAUCCUUACUCCUCAGAAAGGACACUGAUGUGGCAAAAGAUUAAGAGGCAACUUUUGCAGGUGAGAAAAUUUAUUAAGGAAUCAUGUAAUUGUUUGGCUGCAAAAUAACUACUGGUGUUUUUGUGGAAGUUAUCAUAGUUUCUUCAGGUAAUAGCCAUGUUCAAAGAAAUUGAUUCUCAGUCAAAAUUAAUUUAUUUGCAAUUUUAAUUCUUUUCUAGGAACUGGGUUUAGUUGAACCUAUGGUAAACAACUUGGAGAAGUUGAAUUUAUCAUGUGGAUCUCCAGUUUUUGCACUUCACCAACUAAGGGAAAUUCUACCACAUGGUACUUCUUUCUGUGGUUAAGAUUGCAAUAAUACAUUUACAUGUUAUAGAAGGAAUUUCAUACUCAUCAGUGAAUGAUAAACCUAAUGCAGAUGAGGUUACCUCCAAGGCACUUGAUGAAUUGUCUAAGCUUGUGGAUCGAAUUUCAUGGACGGAAAAUAAUGUUCAUAUAGAUCCAUUAAUGCCAACAACGGAAAGUUAUCAUAGCGGUUGGUUUUUUCAGGUACAAUAAAUUUGUCAUUUACUUUAAAAAAACUAUUACACCUUGCAGUACAAAUUCCAUGCUUGCACUUUGUAAGAAACACUCCUCACUCCCUAAAUUCACCUGUUUUUAUGAUGCGCUUUUACCACCUUUUAAAAUUGUUAUUAUUACUAGUAAAAAAAAAUUGUUAUUAUUACUAGGUAAAUCAUGAAUACUUGUAAAAUAGAAUUAUCCCAAUUAUAUAAACUGUUGUGUAUUUUUUAUUGAUAAUGAACUAGGCACACAAUGCCUUUUGAAUUUUUUGAUGAUUCUGAUGAAGUUGAACUUUGCUUGGAAGGUAUACUUAAAGAAGGAUAUUGAAGGUGACUUGCUAGCUGUUGGUGGUCAAUAUGACGAUUUGCUCCGUCAGUUGCGGAGUAGGGAGGAAUAUGUGGGUUAUGCAUUCAAAUUUAAUUUCUUCUGACUGUCAUUAACAUAGUUUUCUAUCUGAUGUCGGCAUGUUUUCUUUUGUCAGCGAGUUUUAUAUUGUUUCUAAUAGCCAGUCUUUUCUAUUAUGCAGGAAGAAAAUCCUCCUGUUGGUGUGGGGACUAGCCUGAAAUUAGAGACAGUAAUUCAGAAUUACUCCAGAUGGACAGUGCCGAGGAGGGUGAGCUUGUGAGUGCAAUAGCUUCUUUUUCUUCAGAGGAAUAUCAAAAUCUUGCUGACUUGCUUGUUGAAAAGACUUCACUACUAAUUCUCAUCUGGGAUUGGUGAAGAUUUUUGGGAUAUUUUUGCUUCUUUGUGUAUAAUUUCGUCAUUUCUUAUUUCUUGGUCAAAUAAUUUCAUUUCUAGGAAUUUUUGCAUGCUUUUGGUCUUGAAAAAAACUACUAAAAACUCACCUAAAACGAUUUGUAUUCUUGAAGAGUCGGUUAUUUGCUCUCGGCAAACAACGAAGUGUAUACUAAUAAAGUGUUGAGAUGUUUGGGUAAGGAGCCGCAGCCCAAAGUGACGGCUAUUAAAGAAGCCAAUGGCCAUUCAAAAGAAAAAAGAAGCCAAUGACUUGACCACAUCAACAAGAGCUCAUUUCUCUAGGAAAACAUGAUAAAAGGAUAAAGAAAUAUAAGAACACGGAAAAAUUGUCAAAAACAAAUAAUCCGUAUUAAUGCAUAAAUAUAAAUAUAUGAUCCCGUGGAAAUUAUAAUAAAAAAUAGGAUUUGUAUUGAUGUAUGCAUGCGUUGAAAUAUAGGCAACGUAGAAAUUGUAAAAAAUACGACCCUUAUAUUGCCUAUUUUGUUGCACUUCCUAGUACUCCCUCUGGUCCUUUUUCUUUUUAUAAGAAACACUUUGGAAUUUUUAUUUGGUCCUUUUUAUAAGAAACACUUUGACACAAUUUCAUUUGUACCCUUAUUAAAUACAAUCAAAUAAUUCAUUAUAAUGCUAGNNNNNNNNNNNNNNNNNNNNNNNNNNNNNNNNAGUUUUGGAAUAUAACAUAAAAUGAUAGAAUCAUUAAUGAGAAAAUUUACCUUCCUUGGUCUGUGUGAUUUUGUCAAAGUGUUUCUUAUAAUAAGGACCGGAGGGAGUAUUAUUUUGCUUGUAUUUUUGGUCCACGCAUCUGUGGUUUACAAACCUCAUUUCAAGAUAUAUGCCCAAUUCAAAGGCAAUUCUUUUUUGUCGGUCAACAUCACGAAAUUGCAAUAUUUUUUUAUUGAGUAUGUUUUCCUAUGAAGCACGGACACCGCAACACGACACGGUGACACCGUUAAUGUAAAAAAUGUAGGACACCGAUACCGCUACAUAUUUAUAACAGAUAUAAAUUGCGAAUCAAAAUAUAUACAUGUAAAUCUAAGUUGAGCAAAGUUGUUUCUUAAAAGAAAUUUUAAAACAAAAUAUGAUAGUAUUUUACCUUGAUUUAUCCAUCUACUAUCAAAAAAACUAAAAAGAUUGUAAUUCAAAUGUAAUGUCUUCAAUCCCUCAUUGAUCAAUAUUGUUGUUUCGACAUAUCUUUAACUCUUGUAGAUAUGUCUAAUAUGUGCAUAUCCAACACGUGUCGGACACCGAUCAAAUGAGUGUCAAAGUAAAGAAAAAAUUGGGUUUUCUUUGACACUUGUCUGAGCUAUCCAACAAGUGUCAGACGAAUGUCGGAUACCGCGACAUUGCCUAAUCAGAGAGGUGUCCGUGCUUCGUAGAUGUUGUUAAUGGAAAAGAGAAAUAAAUGGCAUCGGGGUUAUCAUGUUUUUCUACAUGUGUUAUGCUAUAUUUUUUAUAAGCAAAACAAUGAUAGAAUGGUUCACUUUGUUAUUAAUUUAACCCAUUUGGGUUGAUCUGGUGGUAUUGGCUUGACCGCUUGAGACAUGAGAAUAUGCUCCUACUUAAAGUUUCGGGUUCGAUUCUCUUUAGUGCCAAUUUGAAUGGGCUAAUUUAGCUUCUUAAAAAAAAACUUUGUUAUUAAUUUUUAAAUUAACAAAAAAUAAUAUCUUAAUAUUUAUACACAUUGAGUAUGUCAACAAAAAAUUUUCAUGAUUACACAUCCAAUAUAUUUUUGCACAUUCCAGAAGCACGGUUAAAAAUGCAACUGCAAAAAAAUAAUAUCUUAAUAUUAAAGUUUUCAUGAUUAACAAAAAAAAAAAAGAAGAGAGAAUAUGUAAUAAAAUCAAAGCACCAAAUAGUCAACUUCAUUAUGGUAAAAUUUACCAUUUAAUUUUAUGCUGCACUGUGUAUUUAUUUUUGUAAAAAAGCAUCUUAUCAAUCUCAUUAUCUUAGUGAAGCAUGGCAAUUUAAUUUGCUGACAUAUCUCAUGAGGAGUAAAUUCUAUGAGUUUAAAUUUUAUAGGGGUGAAAUGGAAGAGUUUUUCAAUAAGAUUAAAAUUCAAAUUUGGCAAUUUUACAUGGACUAAAACCACCUUUUACCCAUUAAAAAAUAGAAACAAUUAUCGAACGUCUCUCAUGAAGUUGGAAUUUAUCAGUAAUUCAUCAAGUUCAAUUGCAACUAUUUUAGUCUUAAUUCAUUCGUUCCAUAGUCUUUUUACACACAUUAGUUUGUAGGAGAGCAACUUGAGUUCUAGAGAACUACAAUAAGUGUGGUACUUACCACCGGCAUUUGCAGAUGAUAUCUUUUUGGAAAAAAUGGUAUAUGAAUUGGUUGAUAUCUAUUGCAAAGAUUAGAUGCCAUCAUAUCUAAGACUCAAAUAUGUCUGUUAUCAACUACAUUAAAUUAUUAACAACAAUAUUUUUUUAUAAUUAAUAAAUUUAAUCUUUCAUGUUGAUUAAUAAAAUGUCAUUGUGCAGAUCUAUGUUCUCAUCAAAACUGUGAGGAACACCAACUGGUACACGUGGCAAAUAAACAGCAUCAAAAGUACACAUGUCAUAACACAAGUAAAUCCAAAACUCAAAUGAAACAUGAAAAAUCCAAAUUCCAAACCAAACAAAGAAAAAGGGAAAGCGAUCAUAUGAAUAAUUUUGAAUUAAUCAACCUUAUCAACAAUGGAGUUAAAUUUCAACCUUAAAAACUCAAGAUGGAUAUCAACAGUAGCAAGCAUAUGGAUUCAAUGCACAAGUGGAUCACUCUACACUUUCUCAAUCUACUCACAAACUCUAAAGUCAACGCAACACUAUGAUCAGUCAACACUCGACAUUGUUUCUGUUUCCAAAGACAUUGGAGUUAACGUUGGUGUUCUGUCUGGUCUAUUAUAUGAUUUCCUUGCCACUAGAACUUCAAUUGGGCCAUGGAUUGUUCAUUUUUUGGGCUCGGCCCAAUGUUUCUUGGGCUAUUUUCUUAUUUGGGCUGCUGUUUCCGGUCUUCUUCCUCCGGUGCCGGUGCCGAUCAUGUGCCUGUUUAUGUUUGUGACGGCUCAUGGUCAGAGUUUCUUUAACACUUCUAAUGUUGUUACUGGUGUUCAUAAUUUCCCUUAUUAUAGUGGAACCAUCAUUGGCAUCUUAAAGGUGUUUUUUUUUCCUCAGAAAUUUUGUUGGGUUUUGAAUAUAAUUGGUGUUUAGUUUACUAAUUACUAUAUAUCACAAAUCACUUUUAUGUUUUUGGUAUAGUUAGAAGCUCUAGUUUUAGUUCAUAUGUUUUAGCUCAACCCACAAUGCCGAAAUUGUUAAGUUGGAACACCUUGUGGUUUGAACUCAGAAUUUUGCAGUUGUGUGUGAGUUUCGGUGGUGUUUGUCAUCUCUAGUUUGAAUGAAUCGUGACAAAUUUAGGAAUUUGAAAUUAAAGAUUGUCAAUUUUAUAUUACAAAAAAUGAAGGAAAGAUUGUCUGUCAAUUCAACAUCUUUGAUGAAUUUGGACUGCGAAAUAGAGCUCAAUAGAAGUCCUAAACAAAUUUUACAACUAAGCAUAUCAUAAAUAUUGUGCCAACUUAGCAUUGUUGACCGUAUAUGAUAGAGAGACUAAUUGAUUGAUGGUCUUCAAUUUCAAGGACUAAUUUGUCAGUAUAAAAAAUUUGAAGACCAAAUUGUCUAUCCUUGCUAUUUCAAACCAACCAUAAUUAGGGUCUUUAACUUUCCACCCCAACAUAUCCCCGUGGUUUAGGUCCGGUACUUUGGACCCUCUAUGGAAUUAAUCAUCGAGUCAGCAAAGAUACUUUUUUUUUUCCUUUUCUUUCUACGAGGUUGGGUUGUCCUCCAAAUGGGCGACUAUAGGAAUUGAACUUUAAGUUCUUUUCUCAAGGGAGAGUCAUGUUAACGACUCUCCCAACACCAUGUUGGUUGUGAUGUUCACACUCUUUUAAGUUUCAUUGAACUAUUCUUUAUUAUUGUUUUCUUAACUAAGCCCUUAGUAGCAUUCUUUAGCAUAUAGCCUUUAAAUUUUUUUGGUGUCUUGCAUUGUGUUGAUGUUUGGGCAUUGGAUUUUUGUUUUGUUAGGGAUUUCUAGGUCUAAGUGGAGCGAUAUUAAUUCAAGUGUAUCGAACAAUAUUCAACAACAACCCUGUGUCAUAUCUGCUGAUGCUAUCACUCUUACCACCUAUCAACACUUCGAUCCUUAUGUGGUUUGUAAGAAUCCACAACACUCAUGAUGCAGUGUCGGAAGAAAAGAAGUAUCUCAACAAAUUUUCUCUGAUGGCUCUAGUUAUUGCUGCAUAUCUUAUGAUUAUUAUAAUCCUAGAGAACAUCUUCACUCUACAAUUGUCGAUCCGCAUAUUUACAUUCAUUCUGCUUAUGAUGCUGUUAGCCUCGCUUCUUUGCAUUGCAUUUAAAGCACACGAAAAGUGCGCUUCUGAUAGCACUUCAGAAAGUUUUCUUACUGAAGGGUCCAACCUAAUUGCAAGAGAAGAUUCUUCCAGAAAUCAACGGACUAUGCGACAAGGAGAGAAUCUGAAUCUUUUCAAAGCAGCGAAAACGUUGAACUUUUGGAUUUUGUUUGUUUCUAUGGCAUGUGGAAUGGGAUCAGGACUCGCAACAGUUAAUAAUAUGAGCCAAAUAGGAGAAUCACUUGGUUAUUCCACCAUUGAGACAGGCUCGUUAGUAGCUUUGUAUAGCAUUUGGAAUUUUCUUGGCCGUUUUGGAGCUGGUUAUGUAUCGGAUUAUUUUUUACACACAAGACGAUGGGCAAGACCUUUAUUUAUGGUGAUCACAUUGAUGAUUAUGAGCAUUGGUCAUGUCGUUAUUGCUUAUGGACUUCCGGGCGCUCUAUAUGUCGGUUCAAUAUUGGUCGGUAUUUGUUACGGCUCUCAGUGGUCGUUAAUGCCUACAAUCACUUCUGAGAUAUUUGGUGUAGAACAUAUGGGAAGCAUAUUCAACACCAUUUCCGUAGCAAGUCCAGUGGGUUCGUAUAUAUUCUCUGUAAGAGUAGUUGGUUAUAUGUAUGAUAAAGAAGCACCGGAAGAAGGAAAUAUAUGUGUUGGGACUCAUUGUUUUAUGUUUCCUUUUCUCAUUAUGGCAUCUGCUACUAUUCUUGGUUCUCUAACAGCUUUGUGUUUGUUUUUGCGGACUAGACGCUUUUAUGAUCAGGUUGUUCUAGGAAGAAUUCAAAAUGUUCUUUGAUGGAACUUGUUUGGGUUCAACAACUUAUCGGUAAUGUAUGUGAUUCUUUCACUUUUUGUGUGUGUGUGGGCAUAUGUACUUGUGUAACUCACUCUACGAAGCACAAACACCAGACAUCAUACUGGCAUGUCGACACUGUAAUAAUAUGAGAAAAUGGAACAAUUUGAAUGUAACAAUGUGUCUCGGUGUUGGACACCUGACACAUCUUUAAUUAGGGCUGAGCAGAAAAACCGAACCAGACGAUUUUUUUUCAGUUGGACCGGUUCACGGGUUGGGAAAAACAGGUCCAGGUGGGUGUACUGUACACGGUCAGGCCCGAUUUUUGUUAAAGUAAAACCGCAACAAAAAUAUCAUUUGAUUCGACGAUCCCCCCAUAUAAUAAUGUAUAAUAUUAAUAAGCAAACCCUAAGUAUAUAUAACAACAUAACCUUGUUGUUGCGCCGUUUCUCACAUAACUCAAACCCUAACUUUUUAAAUGGAUCUGCGUUCUCCUCUCUUCUCAAACUCGGUGACUGCAACUCAAACACAAACACAAACACAAACACAAACUUAAUACCUUAAAUUUCUUUAUCAUCUCACUCAAUCCCUCCAUUCCCCAUCAUCAUCUGUGACUCUCUUAUCUUCCCUUUCCAUCAUCACUAUCAUCUCACAAUCUUUUUGUGCAUUCAUCUUUUGGUAAAACAAUAAAUUAACCCAUUUAAUAAAUGUUUGCUUGCUUUCUCUCUCUGAUUUGGUCUUCUUCCUCUACCUUUCUUCUCUGCCAUAUUUCUGCUUCAACAAAAUCAAUGAAAACCAUUUUUGUUUCUUCACUUCUCAAAAAAAUUCCUUUUUUUCUUCUAGUUGUAACCCGAACCAACCCACUCGAAGACCCGCAAUUUUUUCUUAACCGAACCCGUUCAAACCGAUACAAUUUAUGGGCGGAAUUCGGCCUUAAAAAUGUAUGUUCGGUUUCAUGUAACCCGACUUUUUUGGGCCCUAACCCGCCUAUCUUUAAUAUAAAAUGUCGGUGCUUUAUAGGGUAUGACUGCCCGAGGUUGUAUCCAUUCUAUAGAUACAUAUGAUUCAAGCUAAUAAACCGAAAUAAGCUAUGUGUGAACUAGAGUCAAAUUGAGGUUUAGCUGGAAAAACAUGAACUUCAUUCGAGUGUCUAACUCAAUCACUUGUUAUUUUGUCAAGGUAAAAUGUUAAACUAAAUUAAGUUCGUCUCAACUCAUUUUUAGUUGUUUUAAGCGUCACUUCAUAAGAAUGGUGUGAUUGCUUAAACUCAACAAAUUGUGAUUGAUGCAUGAAACUUAUAUCUUCCACAAUACACUUUAUCUUGCACCUAUCAAACCGAUGCCAAUCUUAUUAAUAUUUUAAGGAAUUAAUUAACAAUACUAGCUCUUUCUUUGUAUUUAUUAUGUUUGGAUUUCGCCGCUAAUUUUUUAAAUUUUUUUUAACAAAUGCAAGAAAAUUAAAAAUUAUAUUGUUUGGUAAGUAAUGUUCUAAUUGUUUAGAGAAUAUUAUUUAUUUAUGCUUAAAAAACAAAGAGAACAUUGUUUAUUGAAACAAAUUACAAAAGUUAUUGGUCUAUACCAUAAUCUAAAAUGAAAAUACAAAAUAUAACUACUAAUUUUAGUUUGAUUUUCUUUUUUGUACCAAUUUGUUCUUAACAAUUUUUUUAAUAUUUUAUUUAAAUGUAAUUAUACAGCCUAAAUAUUGAAUAUGAAAUAUAGAUAAACUUAAAUAAAUAAAAAAUUAUGAAAAUGAAAUAAAUAAAUUAAAAUGAAUAAAACAAAUAUUAUGCAGUAAAAAUAAUAUUUUUUAUGCAAUAAAAAUAAUAUUUUUUAUUUUGUUCAUAUUAUAAAAGUAUUUUCUAAUAGUAUAUUUUAUUUUUAUUAUAAAUAUAAUUGAUAUAUUUUUAACUUUCUUACCAAAAAUUGUUUAUUUAUUUAUUUUUAAAUAUAAAUUUUACGUUUUUCUUUCGUAUAAUAUUUUUUGCUUAAAAAAUAUACAUUUUUAUGUUAGACCUCAUAUUAAUGACCGUUUUAAACCCCACAUUAUGUUGGGUCGGUCCUGUAUUUCCUGUAUCUAUAAUGGAAUCUCCAAAAGUUAUGAGUGCUGGAAUUGUAACAUUUGGUGGUAAUUUCACCAAUGCAUUGGUUCUAUAUGAUAAAACUAACAAAAUGAUGAAACUAAACAUUAAGCUAGUUGAUGAAUUAGGAAACUUCAUCAUUUUGUGCUAGUUGCUAUUUUUUUUACUAAUAAGUUGAGUAUCCAAGGGAUAGCUUCUUCACAUGUAAUUUGCGUAAAUUUAUAGUUUAUAUAUAUAUAAUCUUUAAUUUUUCAUUUGUUAAUUUUUUAUAAAAAAUAAUAGCGGCGAAAUAUCCUCAUGUCAAUCUAGAUACAAAUAGAUUCCACCUAUCAAACCGAUGUGAAUCAAAUAUCCUCGCCACUUUUUCUCGACUUUUCUUAGUUCAAGUAAUUAAUUAACAAUCUUUUAUUGUAUUUUCAAUUGCGAAAAUGCAACAAACUACGGUUUAGCUUUGGUCAUGCAUAUGUAACUUUGAACAACAAUUAGUGAUACUUUUCAUAUUGAUAAAAUUGAUUUCAUGUAGUGACUCAUAAAUAUAACCUAGUUAGUCGGUAGAAAUGAAAAGUUGUUUAAAAAUAAAGACAUUUGUCAUGAAAAAUUGAUUGAAGACGUGAAAAGAUGUUCAUGGAUUUGGUUGAAGCCUAAAUCAAACACCAUUGACUAUAAUUUUGAUGUUCUUGUAGAGUUGAGGUGUUUGCAUUGGCCUUGGGAUAUAUUUGGGUGAAGCUUCUAUGGUUGCUGCUUUCAUGUCUUGUAAAUAGUACUGCUUCUUGUAAUGACAUUCCUUAUGCCGCUGGCACUGUUUUUAUUAAUAUAAUUUUUUCUUUGCCUCUUCAAAAAAUUAAAUGGAAUGGUUCGAAUUAGAAUCCAAACUCCGCAUUUAUCUAUAUUUUAAAAUGCGAGUCUACCUGAAUACAAAAAAUUAAAAUAAAGAACUUCAUUUCCUAAACAAAACAAGUGUCAUUUAACAAAAUAUAUUUUAUUUUAUUGAUCAAAUGAUAAUUUAUUUAUUUUUGUUUUGACGAAAUAUGUCAUCUAUCAAAAAUGAUAAUUUUUACUUAUGUCAUUAAACCUAUUAAUUUCAAAAUUAUAAGUUGAACUAAAAAUUAUGAAAAAUUGGAACUUUAUUCUCGUGUUUAUUCUCUGAAAUGUUAAGUUUAUUAAACAAGUGACGUAAAGAAUCUAUCAAUUAUUUGGUAGUCUAUAAUAUAAAUUAUAUAUAUUAAUUAUUCGAUUAAAUAUGGAGAAAUAAAGAAUUUAUAUUUGAUAUAAAACAAAAAGAAUUUAUAUUCAAACUCGACACCUCUUCUGAUUAAUCCAAUGACUGAUAUUGUAAAGAAAAAUAAAAUGUUUUAGAGAAAGAAACAACAACAGAGAUCCUACGGUUACAAUUAGUGCAAGACAGAUAACAGGAGACGAUCAACGAGAGAGAAUCGAAAUCUCAAUAAUAUCGAGUUAGUUAUCAAUUGAACUAUAUUCAUGGGGACGGGAAAAAUGUUAUAGUAAUCAAUCGGCAUUGAAAGGAAAAGAAAAAAUAGAAAAAUAGUAUAGAAGACGCGGUUACGAACCAUACUUGUCUGUGGCUAUUGUUAUCUUCCUCCUCCGCUUCACAUCAACUUUUCUCAAUUCUCAUUCCCAAAAUCCCAAUUCAAUGUAUUAGGGUUUUCAUUCUUCAUAUUUUCUCUUCAAUUUCUUCAAUCAUCAUCCCUAAAUACCUUCAUUCCAAUUCAAAUAAACCACGCGAUCGCAUUUUAUUUCAUUUCAUAUUCCAUAUAUAUACACUGCGAUCGGUACGUUUCUUUCUUCUUUCACGCAUUCAGUGAUUUCAAAGAUUAAACGUUUCGGUUUUUGUUUUGUGAAGAUACUUUUAAUUAUUUUUUUUUUAUGAUAAAGAUGCUUUUAAUUUAAUCUAUAGUUUAAUUGAAAUGAUGAUAAGAAUAUUCAUUGAUUUUAGUAGUUACUGUUAUUCAAAGAUUGUAACUUGCUUGUUAUUUUGUUAUUAUUAAUUAAUUAUAGUUGGUAACUGAAGUGUUGAGAGUUGAUUGAAUUUAAUAAACAAACCGGUUAUUAUAGGUUAUUAUCGAUUAGUGUACCAGUGAUUUAUGAAUUGCUGAUAUUAAUAAUUUAAUUACAAUUCGGUUGGUUUGGUUUGGUGGAUCUAUGGUAAUGUUGCUUGCUUGAUACUUUUUAUUUACAUUGCUUGGUAGAUACAUUUCGAAUUUAGGAUGGACCGUUUUUGGGGUUGUGGGUGAAACUUGGGUAUGUAGAUAGGGUAUGAAGCAUUUCUUUCUUUUUAUGUUGUUACGAAACUCACAUGUUAUGUCGAAGAGGGGUAUUGUGGUUCGAGCCUGCAGCCCAAUAUAUCAAAUAUCAUCGUUGCACAAUGCUCAUAGCUUUUAACCAUGUGAGCUGCACUUGCGGGACAAUGGCAUGAUGCAUUUCUUAUCAUGUAUUCAUGUUGAUUAAUUUCAGAUGUUUUGGCUGAGAGGAAGGAAGGAGUGUUAUGGGUAUCAAUGUGUGUUUUUAUGUCAAUAAGCUUUUUAGUAUCUUUGUUUGGUGUAGAACGUUUGGAUUUUCCAUGGGAAGUUGUUACCUUUUUAGAAUUGAUUUGGGAUUAGGAUCACUUUCAUUAGUUUUAUGUAUUUGACUUUGGAUGUGGACUUCUAUUUUAUGAUCAUGAUGUCCUUUUCUGCAAGGAAUAUCUCAUAAUCAAAUUACCUGCAUUUCUUCUUUCUUUCAAUGAAUAUUCUUGCUUUGUCCAUAAGAAAGUCACAAUCAGUAACUUAGUGGCAUUGCCUAUUUGUCACACAAUUGACAUGUUUUUGAAUUGUUAUGUCUCUUUUCCUCCAUGUAUUUAACUUCUGUGAUAGUUUUUGUUAUCCUUAACAUGUAAGUCAUUUUUCAAAAAAAAUCCAGUUGGGUUCAUCUCUGGCUUUUAAUUUUUUGACAUCUAGGUUCAAUCUUGUAAUUUUCAUAUAACAGGUGAGUGGAGAGAAAGGUGCAAAGCACAAACUUCAAGAUAUUUCUCAUUAAAGAGAUAGUGUCACAAUGUUGGCUUCCAAAGAAAUUAUGAAAUUCAAAUCAUACCAGAACCAGGCUAAUUUGUUUGUGAAGGAAUAUUUAUUAGCAGACCCUCUGAUUCCAUAUACUUCCAUUAUUGGUGGCAUUUUUGCUUGCAAGUUGGUAUGUUGUAUUGUACUGUGUUGGUUUUCUAUUUUCUGUAUUAUUUUUUUCUAAGAGAAUUUAAGGUUACUAUAAUUUAUCAUUUGUUAAUGAGGAGGGAUCCAUUGACUCUAAGAGUAAGUUUAUUGAGUUACUCCAAAUCACGGCCAUCCGUUUCGCUUCAAUCUAAUGGUCUCAAGUUAAUUAUUAAUUAUCUCAUGUGAACCCUAAAUUAUGCUAUCCCAAACUAUUUCUCUACUAUCCCUCGUUUUGCUUUCUACCAUUGAAGAAAAAUCCAACUCUCUCCCAUGUAUUGUUUUACUCUUUCUAAUUUUUUGGAGGCUAUCACUUGUUUCAAUAACUAUUGAUGAAUUCUAGUAUUGACCUUUACAUUAUAAUUUUUUUAGAGGCUAUCCCUUGUUUUCUUUAAUCGAUUAUUCUAAAAGAAAAGUGGAAGAAAUAUUUUUACCUUUUUAGGGAUGGGAACGAUGGACUGUGGCAACAACCUUGAGAGAAUUAUAGAGACGUGUGGCUUUGGUAGUGUGCCAGUACUCCAACUCCAAAGCCUUUUCUUAUUUGAAUGCAAGCAAGUGAAUAUAUGUAAGGAUUUAGGAGGAAGAAGAGACUCAAAAGAGGACCAAGUGAAUAUAUGGGAUAGUAUAAUUUAGGGUUUACAUCAGAUGAUUAAUAAUUAAUUUGGAUCAUUAGAUUAAAAUAAAAUGGAUGGUUGUGAUCUGGACUCUGGAGUAACUCGAUAAACUUACUCUUGGAGUCAACGGAUCUCUCCUCUUUGUUAAUUGCUAUUACUUAUUAUAUCUUACAUAUAUGUCUAAAUAUUCUAUUUUGGCAGGUCUAUGAUCUGACUCAGCUUUUUAGCACUACUCAUUUUAAGAGCUAUUCCAGUCUCACUAAAAUCCAACGUAUUGAGUGGAACAACCGGUGACUGGAUUUUUUCAUUUAGUAAAAGAUCUCUUCUUUUGUUUCGGAUGAGAUAUAUGUUAAUGAUUUAUUUUUCUAUUUUGUGUGCAGUGCUAUGUCAACUAUCCAUGCCGUUUUUAUAACAACUAUGUCUUUAUACUUGGUGUUUUGCUCAAAUCUAUAUUCUGAUAGCCACUCAGUUGAACUUCUUACAGAACGGAGUUCUGCGUUGUCUACGUUUGCUUUGGGGGUAAGAAUCGUUGUGGCAUUUUUUUGUUUUGUUUUCCUUUUCUUAACAUCUUUGCAAGUCACAAUUUUGUAAACAAUAGUAAUCAGUAAUCACAUAUAAUGAGGAGGAGAUUUCAACAGUCGAAGUUAUGAGUUUCAGAUAAAUAAAGGGGAUAAUAAUAAGAAUAAAUGUGACCAUGGUGAAAUGUCAUUCAUAAUCAACUUGAUGAUGCCAAUAGUAAUAAUAAAUGUAAACAAUAGUAAUAAUAAGAAUAAAUGUGACCAUGGUGAAAUGUCAUUCAUAAUCAACUAAAUAAAUAUGGAAAUUGGGAAAUGAAUCAUAAUAAUAACCAAAGUAAUAUGAAAACUAAUUCUAAGAGAUAAUCUAAGAUACUCUAAGAUUAUAAACUAAACUUAGGAGAUAAACUAAGACAAUCUAAUAUAAUAACAUACAUAUUAUAAGAUAUUUUAUUAUAUUGUAGCACUCCCCCUCAAGUUAAAGCUAACUAAACUUUAAGUUUGUUACAAAUAUAUCAUUUGAAAGAGAAAAUUUAACACCUGACAUAAUUAGACCCAAAAAGAUAUCUUGGAUAAACCAACUAAGAACGGCAAAAUAAUCCACCAAUAAGGUUCACGUUGAAGAACAAACCAGGAUAAUAUAAUGUGAAUCAUGUGGAUCCAGAACGUGUGAUUAAUGAAAUUAACUUACUGGUUAGGUGUUCUUGAUUGAAUGGCUUAGAAUGACAGGUUGUCGUCACUUUUUUAUUGUAUUGGUCUCUCAUUGUAGUUUGUAAAAGCAAUGUCAAAUGUUAUUAUAAAUGUAUCAUAUUACUUUUAUUCCUGUGUAUGAUCUUAAGGUCAUAUAAUGACAUGCUUAAAUAGUAGUAGUUCGCAUCAUCUUGGUGUCCAUAUUUUCUGCUAAAAUUUCCUUCUCUAGUAACUUUUUCUAGAUGUUGUUAGUAAUUGUUUAAAUCAAAUAUGGACUUGUCACUGCCUUCAUUUUUCUGAUAGAGCCACUGUAUAAAAACAUAACUAACAUGUAAGGAAUUGUAGCUCAUAUUUUUUUACUAGAAACACAUCUUUCUUUUCUUCUGGUCAUGAAGUCUAUAUUACUUACGUUUUGUUUUAUUUAUGGUGACAGGUUUCUGUUGGUUACUUCAUGGCUGACCUGGGGAUGAUAUUUUGGUAUUUUCCUUCUCUUGGUGGAUAUGAGUAUGUAAGGAUCAUAUCUUUUGACGUUCAUAAUUUAUCUAGCUGAAGACUCUUUCGAAUUUAAGAUUGUUCACUUGAUCAAAACCUAGCUGGAGAUGAUUUAACGUGACUUCAUAUUAACAUUGAUUCAGGUGAUUCAUCAUCUGCUUUCUUUAGUAGCAGUAGCCUAUUCAAUGUUGAGUGGAGAAGGGCAGCUGUACACCUACAUGGUCCUCAUCUCCGAGACAACAACUCCCGGAGUCAAUUUGAGAUGGUAAUCUUGCACUUAAAUUUGAACUCCGAUAUGUCAUGAAUUUUUUUAAUUUGUUGAUGAUAUCCAUAUUUUGUUUGUGAAGGUAUCUUGAUGUAGCUGGAAUGAAAAGGUCAAAAGCGUAUCUCAUCAAUGGGGUUGUAAUAUUCAUUGCUUGGCUGGUAGGUCAAGUCAUUACAGUUUAAAAUAUAUUUUUUUCACCCAUUGUGAAUCAGAUUUCGUGUUGAAUUCCCAUUCUUAUCUUCUGGGACAUGCUUACCGAAAUGUGGUCCGUCUGCAGGUUGCNNNNNNNNNNNNNNNNNNNNNNNNNNNNNNNNNNUGUUAAUGUAGCUACAUAUUUGCUUCCAUGAUAAUUGGCCCAGAACUUAGAUCCAUUUGUUGCUUACAAGAUCACUUUCUCAAUAUCUAUUUAUAAGUAUGAUGUACCGUAGGGGAGUAAUUUGUGGUUUUCGUGUGGGGAAAAAGGUGGGAUUUUGUCCAAAAAAAAUUAGGUGCAGGGGCCGGUAUUUAAGUGUAGUAGUACGUUUUUCCAUUUGGUUUAUUUUGAGAUGUGUUAGGAGUGAGCAGGUCACACAACUAUAUACUUUGAUCACACAACUAUUUGUAUAGGUUUUCUAUCUAUAUUAAAGAAAAAUGUGUAGUCAAUUUUUUUUAACAUGUUUGUGAUAGAUAUUGUAGUCUUGUUUGGGAAUCUGGACAAUGCUUCAUUUCUUUUGUAAUUUCUCUUCAAGCAAAGUCUGCAUGGUUAAAUCCUGGAUCUCAUGCCAGUAUUCAAUUAUUUAACAGGUUCAGCAGAUGCACACCUUUGGACAAAUACUAGUUGUUGUUGUGCCGGUGGUGCUGUCAGUUAUGAACUUGAUUUGGUUUUCAAAGAUUAUCAAAGGUCUAAUGAAGACAUUGGCGAAGAGGCAGUGAAAUUUUUGAGGAAAAUUAAAUAUAGAUUACAUUGUUGAUAUCAAGGUCACCUUGCCUCUGUGUCCUCUCCUUCUGGGUAAAAACAUAGAUGGUGUGUACUGAAAGAUGUGAUAGAGCAGAAAAGAACAUGUUUGGAUCCAUUUUAGAUCUGAACUUAUAUUGUAUAAAUAUGUUAGUUCUGUUUUACAAUAACCCUAUUCUUUAUGUACAUUUAUUAGUUCAAUUUAAUCUUUAUUCUGUAUCUACAUCUAUGCAAUCCAAUAUUUGUCAAGUCACAUUAUGAGGUAAGGUUGCACUAUCCGAAACACUAACCCUUUACUACUAUUAUUUCUUACGUUAAGAAACCAUUUGAUAUCUUCAAAGCAUAAUUGUACAAAUUCAACUAAACAUAGGAAGAUUCAUCCACUGGUUUCAGCCACCCAUUGCAUUUGGUUCAAGCCCCUUGCCACCGAUGAGAACAUUACGAACACGUAAAGCUGCCCAGUGAUCGUCAUGGGCACAAUGAAGUCGACCUCAUUUGAAUGUGUGCACAUUUUUAGUUAGCAAAUGCUUCAAUUGUAUUGUUCCGUUUAUUGCCUAUAAUGUUGAAGAGCAUAUGUGCCCAGUUGCAUUUGCCUCAAAAUUGAAUUAGAGCUUGAAGUGGUUUUGAUUCUCUGAACUAUCACUAUAAGAAAAAGGAUUGGACUAUCACUAAAGAUUAACAACACUAAAUAUAUUGUUAGAAACUCCUAACCUUUAACCAUUUCAUAUAUUCACUUGGAUAUUUCCUAUGUCUUCAACAUCCAUGAAAUCUUCUAGCCUAUAAUUUUUUGUAAUCCAAUCUUGAUGUUUCUUGGUGAAGACGAUUAUUUGGAAAUUUCAUUUCACAUUCUAAUUAUUUGGUUGAAAUGACAGUCAAACUAAUGGAUGCACAUUUUCACUUGUCAUAAAAUUGAGUAGGGUAUUUUCACUUGUCACUAGUUCGCAAAUACUACACAAACUCACAUUUACACAUGUCCACAUAUUCACAAUUUCUUAUUUACACAACCUGUUUUCACAAGUUCAUCUAUUAUUUUAUUUUUUUUGACAAAAAAGUUCAUCUAUUAUUAUAUUGUCAAAAAAAAAAGUUCAUCUUUUAUUAUGACAUUUAAUCAUGUAAUAAUCAUUUUGUCAAAAAAAAAAAAUCAUGUAAUAAUCAUAACAUGUUUUCACACGCAAUGUAACUGCUAUUUCAGGUGUUCCUUUUGUGGAUGUAAUGGUUAGAAAUGUGUUGGAUGUAAUGGUUGACUCUAUGGCGAUUGAUGAUGGUAACAUGCAUGGUAAAUAUGCUGAAUCAAUUUUGGGUGGUUGAUGUUCCAUCCAAAAUUAGUAUAUUUGAGUGGAGAGACUCCUUCGUGUAUAAAUUUGGUAAGAAAAGGUAUCAUCAUUUAUUUUUUACUUGCACUUACAAGUGUGGAUGAAAGUUUUUCAAUGGUGGAACGUGGAGUUUAUACCCUUUGAGGAAGGUUGGAUUCAUUCUAAAAACUUUGGAGAUCCGUUGAAGAGAAAGAAAUGUGAAAAAAAACUCGCCACUUAAUUUGCCUAGCUAUCAAGUGGAGUCUAUGGUUUGGACAUAAUCAUAUCAUAUUUAGAGGCGAAGCAAUUAAUUUGUCCUCCGUUGUCGAUCAAAUUAUUUAUAUUUCUUAGUUUUGGUUUAUAGGGCAUAUAAGAAAUAUUUCAUCUUUUGUAUUCUCUGAUUGGUGUAAUAUAUGAUUCAUUAGUACGCCUUUAAAGCAUAUAAUGGUACUUUGAAUUGUAUAAGUAUUGAGUACACAUUGUAUUCCUUAUAAUUCAAUUUUGUUAAAUAAAAAAAUCAUUAAAACCGACCAUUGUCCAUCGUUGUCGUAACGUGUUUUUUUUUCUUAACUUCCAUUAUUAACCUUUUAACUUUUUUCAAAUUGUCCUUUUAUUUUUUUUAUGGAAGAUUUUUUUAGUUAGGGACAUUUUGAUACUUUCAAAAAUAAUAAAUAUUACAUUCUUCUCUCUUUUUUCUAUCUUUUUCUUAUGCCAAUCAACAUGACCGACCUCGAGUAUUUGGAGGCUUUUCCUGAAUAUUAAAAAUGAAACCUUAAUAAAAAAAAAAUACAAUUUUUUUAGAAAGAGUCAUUCUCAACCAUUAUCAACUUUCUAGUAAUGUUUCUUCUUUUUUACAAUCAACCACAAGUUACUUAUAAAAUUAAGAAUGCAUCUAUUAAAUUUUCUUUGUUCGAGUAAUAAAAUAUUUUUAGUAAUAACAAAUUAUUAAUUUUGUUUACAUAUAUAAAAAUUUAAUAGACCAAUAUUAAAAAAAAUAGAGGCCCCUAAAUGUUUGAGGCCGUGCGCGGUGACACACCAUGCACACCCACUAUGCCAACCCUAUCAAUCAAUACAUCAAAUAUGCCCUAUUUCUCAUGUUCUUAUACUCUCACUUAUUUUUUCCUUAUCAUUUUCAUUUUGCAACCAAACACACUCUAUAUCAUAUUCCCUCCGGUCACUAUUAUAAGCAAAAAAAAAAAAUUACUUUUUAGAUUCAUUGGAAAACUAAUAUAUCUGAUAUAUAUUAUGGACCAGAUACAUCAAUUUUCUAAUGAAUUUUUUAAUGAAUUUAAAAAGUUAUUUUUUCUUAUAAUGAUGACUUAAGGGAGUAAGUGUUUUGAAUAUAAGUAUUUCUUUUCUAUUUUUAUCUAUAUUAAUACAAGAUAUAGGUAUAAGAUGGGAGUGUUUAGGCAUACCAACUUAGUUGGUAUGUCUAUUCAAUCUUUGAUGCCUAGAUGCUCUUAACUUAUUAAAAAAAAAUAUAUAAGUAUGUUUUAGACAAAAUUCAAUGCAUGUCAUAUUUUAUACUAAAAUAAUUAAAUUCAAUUUUUUAAUAAAUUUUUACCUAAUAGAUGACCGGUACCCAAUAAUUUACCUACAAUUUUUUGUAUUCAUUAAGUGUCAUUUUCCUUAUAUCCAUUUAAGGAGAAUUUGUAAUAAACAUUUUCCAACGUAGGACUAUUUUUUAUAUUCUUUGGUAAAAGUCAAUUGGUCUUUGUUUUCUGUUCUACUUACCAAAACAUGCUUAAAAAUAAUAUAUAUUUUUGGUCAAAAAAAUAAAAUUAUUUACUAACUAAUAUUUAAUAAUAUUCUAUUUAUAUAUUUAAAUUCCUUGUUCCAUGAACUUAUCUCAAUUGGUAAGAACGUCACACUUUAUACACAAAAAUCGAGAUUCGAACACUGGUAAAUUUUCUACCUACUAUACGUACUAUUUUGACUAACAAAUAGUAAAUACUUUAAAAAAAUUGUAGAAAAUUCACCUCAAUUUAAGGUAAAAAAGUCGAGUGAUAUCUCUACCAACUGAGUUAAUCUCACGGGGACUAAACCAUUUUUUAUUCGAAGGAAACAAAUACGCAUUUAAUUGUUUGUGUUAGAUUCAUUUGAUCACCGAUGGUAAAAAUAGCAUGUCUAGAAAAAUAAAAUCAAAAAAUAAUUUUUUUAUCUUAUGAAUUAUGUUUUGAGGAAUACGUAAUACAGAAAAGAAAAAAAUAAAAUAAAAAACUUCCUUUUUUCAUUUUAUUUCUAGGAGUAAUUUGGGAUGCAUAGAAAUUAAAGCAAUGUAUGUAGAUAACAGAAAAAUAAUGAUUCCUUCUCGAGCAUAACAAAUUAGCAUACUCUUUUUUUAUGACAUAACAAACAAACUAUAUCUUGAAUGUCUUGAAUGGAAGGUCUGUCAUAUAAAUAAAUUAACAUGAAAAUUAGAAUGGAGUAAGUAAUUUUGAACAAUAUUAAUCUAUUUACAACAUUUUCUUUUUAAUACACUUGAGUGUUAUAAAUUUGUAAUAAUAAGGUAAAAAUCCAAAUCCCCUUAGGGAUGGUUUUAAGAUGCUCAUUAGUGUCAACAAAAAAUUUAAUAAAAAACUACAUACAUUGAAUAUCAUAAUAAGGCAAUAUGUUAACAAACUCGCAAUAUUCAAAUUAAUAUCAUAAUAAGGUAAAAUGUCUACAAAUAAUAUGAUAAAAUCAUAUUGAUCGAAAUAUCAAUGAAUUUGGAUCUACAACAUUGACGGCCAAGUCAUUGAUUGAAUCAAUAAUUGAUCAAACUUGAAUUAUUAUCAUUCUAAACCAAAUGAACACCGUGUUAUAUGUAAAAUUUGAAUUUUCAAAUUGGAGUAAAGGGGACUCGAAAGACACGGUUUUAGUUGGCAUAUGAACAAUUUUGAUACACUGUGCAAAGGCGGUUAAAACGAGCUUCCCACUUAAUUUUGAAGUUCAAAUUCAAAGUAUCUAAAACGAUAAAAGCAAACGAUUUUUAAUGAUAGACAUGCAGAACUGAAAACCAGUUUCUUAGAUUCUCUAUAAAUAGAAAGCUCUAGAUUAGAAUUAGCUAGAGGACUUCAUUUCUGAUAGAGAAAAUUAUUUGUCUAAUACAAAAACAUAAUCUACACACAAACAUACGAAAUUGGAUAUAUCGCAAACAUGUUAACUAAGAACUCAACAAAGAUCUAAAUCUAAUUCAAGACAUAGUUGCUUAUAAACUUUUAUUUUCCUUAUUUUUUUACUAUUUUAUUUUAUGUAUUUUAAUCUUGAAAUAAUAUUGACGCGAUGAUAAUUAGUUUCAAAUUAAAAUUUUAAUUACAACAAUUUCGACAGUGUACCCAAGACGUACACUGUUUUGUUCAAACAAUAUUAUGACAGCGUAGAAUGGUAAAAUGAGAUUUGACCUAAUAAAUCAUAUAUUAUAUAGCGAAUGUGAUGAAUAAUUAAGUUUUUACAAUUUUUUCAUAUCAUAUGUUUGACCAACUUUCUGACGUGUAUUGAAUUACGCUCUAUGAUUCUCAUUUUACUUUCUUUUUAUAUUAAUUUUAAACCAUUUUCUUUAUUAUAAAUAAGGCUUAGGACUAUGACAUUUUUAUUUUAUAGCCACCUAGUCUCUUCUGAAUUUUCUUGAGCUUUUUUCAGAGAAGUAUUUUUCAUAACAAUGGUGAAUAAUUUGUGGGCUUUUCGUAGAGAAAUGUUGACUCAAAACAAUGAGAGUGACAAUCAAAACCCCAAUAACCAUCAAUCACCAAAUGACCACUCCACAACAUCACAAGCCAUGUCACCGAGACCCCAAAAUCAUCUCAUGGGUGUCAACAAUUUCACUCAAGGUAUAUCAACCUUAUUUUUAAUGUUUUUUAAUGUUCUUUUUUUUAAAAAAAAAAAAAUUGUCAUGUCUUAACAUAAGAUUUUGUGUUGAAAGAAAAUUUCACUUUAAAUUAUUAUUAUUAUUAUUAUUUUAAAUUAAUAUUUAUCUCACACAUGUUAAAUGCAGGGAGGCGCCAAAAUAAUAUUGCUGCAACUAUGCCGAUAUCGUCUUCUUCAUUGUCUAGAAAUAACACUCCUAUCAUUCCUUCUUAUCGUGCAAGCUCAGCUCGAAAUGCUCAAACAUUGCCUUUGGAUCUGCCAAAUCCACAGAUGAGUUCUCGCAACAACACUCCUAUCAUUCCUUCUUAUCGUGCAAGCUCAGCUCGGUAUGGCCAAACACUGCCUUUGGAUCUGUCAAAGCCGCAGAUGAGUUCACCCAACACUCCUGCCAUUCCAUCUUAUCGUGCAAGCUUAGCUCGAUAUGGUCAAGCAUUGCCUUUAGAUCUGUCAAAGCCGCAUAUGAGUUCACCCAACACUCCUAUCAUUCCUUCUUAUCGUGCAAGCUUAUCUCGAUAUGGUCAAACAUUGCCUUUGGAUCUGCCAAAGCCGCAUAUGAGUUCAUCUAACACUCCUAUCAUUCCUUCUUAUCGUGCAAACUUAGCUCAAAACACCUCGUCUAGUUGUCUUGGUUCCCAAGAUUUUGCUGAUGGUUUUCGAAAUCAUUCGAAACCAAAUUUGCAUAAUCAAAAGAACUUCCGAUAUCAUUCUGGUGAAGAGGGUUCUAAUGAUUUUGACCCUCUUUCAAUGGUUGAUAUUAAUAGUUUUCGCAAUUUGCAUAAUUAUGUUGCUCCAAUUGCAACUCCUCCUAUUCGCCCUUCUGGCAAUGCUAAUUUGGGUUCAACUCGUGAGAGUAUCAUUCCUUCUUAUCGUGCAAACUUAGCUCGAAAUUCCUCAUCCAGUUGUCUUGGUUCCCAAGGUCUUGCAAGUAGUUUUCGAAAACCAUCGAAACCAAAUUUGCAUAACCAAAAGAAAUUUCGAUAUCAUCCUUAUAGGGAGGGAUCCGAUCAAAAGAAUAACUCUUUGGUGUUCAAUGAUUUUGAUCCUCUUUCGAGGGUUGAUAUGAAUAGCUUUCGGAAUUUGAAAAACUAUGUUCCUCCAAUUGCAACUACUCGUCCAAUUUGUCCUUCUGUCGGUGCUAAUUUGGAAUUAACUCGUGAGAGAACAACGGAGCAUCACAAUUUGAAUAACAUUGUAGCUCCAAUUGCAACUCCUCCUCCUCCUCCAGUUCAUCCUUCUGGUAAUGCUAAUUUGGAUCUAACUCGUGAGACAACAACGGAACAUUGCAUGCUCGACAUUCAAAACACUAUUGCUUGGAAAAGGCUAACAGCUUCCCCCGAUGGUUGUCAUGAAGAAAUACAAACUCCAAAAGAAGAGCUGCUUCUUUUCAAGGAUGACAAGAAUACAUUUGCUACCAGCUCAGUGAUUGAAAGUGGUCCUGCAGAUGCAAAUGAUGAUAAGGGAUUAGAUCUCACUCUUUCACUUUCACUUUAAAUGGUGAUUGAAAAUCUUUUGUUAUUUUAGUUUAAUGAAUUGUUACUUUCGUUUUUCAUAAUAAAAUUUAGAUAUGCAUGUUGCAAACUCUAAUCAGAGAAGUUUAAUUUGUUUGUUGUAUUUGUUGUUUUUCUUACCGCAUGGUAUAAUGAAUGAGUUUAAAAUACAUUUGGUCUUUUUGUUUUUUCUUCAUAAACUCUCAACUCUUGAUAUCCAAAUUGAUAAUAUAACAAACAAAUUAGCUAUGACUUUUUCUAGCUAUGAUAAUAUCCAAAUUGAUAAUAUAACAAGACAAAUAUAGACUAGAUAAAUUAAACAAUGUAUCUAAAUUUUUAUUUUUUUUUUUUUAUAAUUAAGACUUGAGGGAAUAGAUAAAAUGAAAAAUGGUCUUCAGGAAUUUAUUCAUUUGAUAAAGACAUCACUUUUUAUAUGUAUGAGUCGAAGUUCAAACCUCAAGCACUUCGCUUAUUAGAGUGAAAUUCUAACCAUUGAACUACUUGAUAAAAAAAAUAACAACAAAUUAAUAGUCCCGUCAAACAUAUGAAUUAAUAAUAUAUAGAUUUUCUAUUUUGUGGUCUGAUAAUAAUAGUAUAUGGAUUUUCUGCCAAAAUAAAAUAAUAGUAUAUGGAUUUAUAAAGUGAUAACAGAAAUUAAUAGUCAAGUCAAAAAAAAAAAACACAAAUUAAUAGUAAAUUUUCUAAAGUUGAUGAAUGUAAUAAAUAAUUUACAUUGUUCAAUGCUUUUUAAUAAAGUAAAUUAUUAUGAUAAAUAUAUAAUAUAUUGAAAGAUAGUCAAUGGGCGUUAAUUAUUUACUUAAAGUAUAUAAUUUAAUUAUGGUUUAUAAAUAAUAUAUUAUAAUCUUAAAUGUUAAAAAAUUGAUUUAUAGAGCUUAAAAUAAACUUAAUAAUAUUUUCAUAUACAAUUUCAUUUUUAUAGGAAAUUUUUUAAUAUAAAUAAUAUUGAAAAUGCAUUAUCAAAAUUAUCCUUUAAAAAAACAUUCUCAAAAUUAUACACAAAUUUACUAAUUUUCAAUUCUUUUGUUGCAAAAUUCCAAGUCCAAAAAUGUUAUAUAUAGUGUAAUGAUCAUAUUAAAAUUUAUUUCCAAAUCAAUUUUUUUAAACAAAUUAAAUUAAUAUUUGUGAAAAUAUAUUAUUCUGUCGUAUUUAACAUUCCAAUAUAAUUCUGUCAAAAAAAAAAUUCCAAUAUAAAUCAUUCAAAAAAUAAAACAUUCCAAUAUAAAAAAUUUACCUUAAUUGUAAAUACUACUAUAAAUUAUUUAUUUUUACUUUUAAUUGUUUUUAUUCUAAAAUUACAUUAUCCAUCUUCUCCAUAAGCUUCACCAUAUCCUCUAUUAGAUGGUUUUGAUCUUCCAUGACAUCUUCAGCCUUGUCCAUAAGUUUUCCCAAUACCUCAUUAUGUUCUUCUAUAACCUUUGUUUCUUGUUUAUAUGUUACUAUUAUUUCAUCAACCUUUGCCAACAAUUCACCAUCGACCUUCAAUGCUUAAAUGUUAAGUCCAACAUCAUAUGUACAUCCCACAAGUCAUUUUGGCAAAAAUAUACCAUGAGCUUCAUCACACCAAAAAAUAGUCACACCCAACAACUGUAUUACGUUACAAAAAAUCAUUUAGCCACAUUCGCAAAAGUUGGAGACUAACUUGAUCAUUUGAAAGAGUGAAGAAGGCGACAAAAGGUUGAAAUGAUGAGUUGUUUGUCCAAAGGGUUAGGCAAACAACACAAAAAUAUCUCGAUUUGGUCCCCCAUAUUUGCUGACAUGUUAAUUUGGAUAUCUUUUGCACUUCCAACAAAAUGUUUCAAUUCAGUCAUUGAAAUUUGUCACGUGUGCGUUAGUGUGUCAUGUCAGCACAGUAACUCUGUUAAUUAACUGGAAAUGACAGACGGACUAACUUGAUUGACGUUUUGAACUAUGUUGAAAUCCGUAUAACAAUUUUCCUCUCAGAUAUGCAGUAAGGAACUGAAAAAUUAUUAUCUUAUGCAAAACAUGAAACCCUAAAUUAUAUUUCUCCUUUGCGAGCCACCACCCAUUCUUCUUAUUUCAUUUUGAAAAGAAAAAAAAUGGAAUAAGAAUAGAAGACAAGAAUGGAUCAAUAAAGGUUGAAGAAGACACUCGUUUUUAAAAACACAAUUUUGUGUGAAUUUCGUCCAUCAUUUUUUGUCCACGUGUAUAUGAACGGUUGGAGACUGACAACAUUUCAAUUCAGUCAUUGAGAUUUGUCACGUGUGCGUACGUAUCAUGUUAACACAGUUAACUCUAUUAACCAAUUGGGGAUGAGAGAGGGAUUAAGUUGAUUGAUGUUUUUGAAAACUAAAGGACUAAUGUGAAAUUUUGUUAAUUUGGGGGAGUAAAUUGCUAAUUUUGCAAAAGUCAAGAACCAAGUUGGACAUUUUUUGUGUUAGAUGGAGUGGUAAUCCACCGGAAUUAAACUCAUAUAUAAUUGUGAGAUACUUGGUUCGAACCCGGGUCACGACGUCCAACUUAACAAUUUCAGCAUUUUUGUCAGUUGAGCUAGACCUUCUGGGACAGAACCAAGUUGGACAUUUACACAAUUAAAAAUUGAUUAGCCAUAAAAACAUAAGCGAACAUAGGACAUGACAUACGUUUUUACGGAUAAAGAAAUUUUACACACUCGAUCAAUUACAAUUAUGUUUUCCGUUACGUCACGCCACUUAACCUCACUGUCUUAAUAUGACAUGAAAGGUUAAAACAUUCUUAUUAAUUGAGUAUGUAAAUUUUUUUUACUCCAUCUAUCUAUCUGUUUAUAUCCGGUAAACUCAAUAAUUUUAAAAAAAUAACAUAAUAUGUAGGGAAAAAAAUAAUAAUAACAUAUUCAAUGUGAAAGUGAUGAUGAGUAUAUAAACUUGAGUGACCCGAUCGUUACCUGUUUUUGUUUCCGAAAUUGAAUUCUGAUUCGGAGCUCCAAUAACUGCCAUGGAAGGAGGUGGAGGAACGCUAUCGGAGAUUCACCAAACCGCAAGAAAACUCUUGCUCAGAACACGCGACGGUCUCGAACGUCUCGAGUGCCUAGAGUAUUCCAAUUCCUCUUCAUCAUCAUCCGAUUUCUCCUUCUCCGUAAACAAUGACAUCGCUCAGAUCCAAUCUCUCUGCGUUGAUAUGGAUCGUCUCUCACGCUCUAUUGGUGCAAAAUCGCAACGCGAUCUCUGGAAAAGGUUCGCUCGUGCUUCGCAUUUUCCAUUCAUGUCUCUGUAUAACGGAAUUUUAACUGAAAUCUCCGUUUCUGUUAGAUUUUACUUUUGAUGAUCAUGAUGCUUUCGUUUCAAUGCACUAUAGGUUUUAGAAGAAUUUCUUAUAGUUAAAUUGCAAGGAAAUUGAAUUAAUAGUGUUUAUAAUAUGUAGUAAUUUCAAUGUUUAGUAGUGAAAUUGAGAAUCUGUAUGAUGUAAUUACUUCUUUUCUAGGUAGCACCGGCACUUUAAAUUGAAGGUGCGUUUGGUGUUCGACACUGAAUUACGUUAGCUUUUCGUAUUGUUACUGUACUGAUGAGACAAUGUGUUAGUGUUGUGUUUGGUGUCUGUGUCGAUGUUUCAUAGUUGUUUUUACUUUUUAUAUGAUUUGUGUGUUGUAGUAGUUAUUAGGAUCUUCGUGUUCUAACUGUGAUGCUUUUUGGUUUAGGAAAAUCGAACAAAUAGCUGAAGAAGCUGAAUCGUUAAGAGAUAGUUUGGAGAAAUAUAACUCUCGGAAUCAUAAACGAAUGAUGGAAGCUAAAGAGAGAGCAGAACUUCUGGGAAGAGCUGUAUGUGAUUGCUAUUUAGUGAUUCAAUGUUUUUGUGUUUGUUUUUUUGCUAAAUUGUGACUUUUGAUGUUAAUUACGGUGUAACAGAAUGGUGAUUCUAGUCAUGUAUUGAGGAUUUAUGAUGAGGAGGCGCAGGCGAUGCAGUCGGUUCGUAGUUCUGCACGUGAAUUGGAAAAUGCUAAUGCACUUGGGGAGACAAUACUUUCAUCUAUUCAUGGACAAAGGGAACGCUUGAAGGUAAUCUACCCAUUUUCUGCAUUUACUCAGCAACAAAUGAUUAAUAGCUUGAAAUUGAAUUGACGAGUAGGAGAAUAAUCACCAUUAUGCUAUUGUUUAGGUUUACCAUUUAUGUCAUUUACUUUCUGUUGCAAAUGGUGAAUCAUAUUUUAUGUUUGUAUAUGCAUAUCUCUCGCUUUAUUUUGUUUUGGCUUGCUCUGACGUUUUAAGUAAUGGCAACUUAUACAUGCAAGUGGAUUAUUGGAACUACAUAGUACGAUAGCCACUUCUUGCGUCCAACGCAAGCUUUGAAAUGACUGCAUUUUCAGGGGCAGUCUACUGCGGUUCCAAACAGCAACUAGCGCCCCCGAUUCUCUUUCACUUUUCUUUCAACCAAGAAUAUUUUUUGCCUUGGUAUUUAUUAACCUUCCAUCUGAAUAAAUGGGUAAUCAUAAAAUCUCAAAUCAGUAGAUUCCUCAUGGCUUAUAAAAAGAAAAAGAGAUUCCUCAUGUAACAUGCACGAUGUCUUCUUUACCCACCACCAGCCCCGCUCAAUUUUAUCUGUUAAGUUCUUCAUCAGCUUUGUUGGUUGGUUUUUGACGUUUUUUAAUUGCAGUUUCUGUUUUAAAUUAUACGAAUAAUUUGUAGGUUUUUACUUUUGACUUUCAAUGUUUCUCUCCAUUCUAAGCUUAAUUAUUAUCCAUAUAACUAGUAUGAAUGCUGACGCUAGUGAUAAUCAGUAUUUAGUAGUAAUGUGUUGGUGUUACGUUGUUGCUGACAUACCUAUCAUAUUUGACUUAUCUUUGUGCAGAGUGCACAGAGGAAAGCAUUGGAUGUUCUCAAUACAGUGGGGAUAUCAAACCGUGUUUUGAGGCUAAUUGAAAGACGUAACCGUGUUGAUCAAUGGAUCAAAUAUGCGGGAAUGAUAUUGACUAUCAUUUUCUUGUUUGCUUUUGUUCUAUGGAGACGUUAACACCAGCAGUUGUUGAAAAUUUGACAUAUUUCUCAAAUUCCUCGGUGGAAAGUGUAUAAAAUUUUGAUGUAAGGUCUUUUAAGGCUGACCAGAGCAGUUUUCCAGAAAAUUUGCUUCUUCGAUGACAUACAGAAACUGCUUAUAAAUCUCAUGUUUAUUACUGCUUAUAAAUCUCAGGUUUACCCUAGAUAUAUUAUAGUUUGUUCAGAUUCAAAGAUAGGAUCUAAGACUAGUAGCACACUGAAAUGAUAAAAACUCACUCCUCUUAUUGAUUUUAUAAUAUUUGGUUAGUUAAUUAUUGUAUAUUAGUAUAAUUUUCAUUGUAAAAGUUCAUAUACAUACUACUGGAUUUCUUUUACUAGUGUUGAGGAUAGCUAGUAUGUAAAAAGAUUUAUUUUAUUACCAUGUUAUACGAUCGAUGGUACUGGUGACCCAAAGUAACUUAGGGCUCAUUUGGAUUUGUUUAAUUUUUUAGUUUAUCAAAAUAACCUAUGUAAAUUAAUAAAUUUUUAUGUUAAUUCAUAAGUUUUCUCUAAUAAAUAUUGUAUUUUUAUAAUACAUAAAUACUUUUUUAUUUGUAUAAAUUGUUUCGUAUAAGCUAAAAACAUACACUUAAUGAUUCAUAAAUAUUGUAAGAAUCCAAUUUCGUUAGCUCAUACUCCCUUCUUUUUUUAUAAGUGUCCAGUUUUCUUAGAUUUAACGUUUCUAAUUAAUUGUCCAAUUUAUGUUUUAAGGAUAUGAUUUCCCAAUUAUUCUUAUCUUUUUCAAUAAUUUUUUAUAUAUAUAUUUAAAAAACUAAAGUUUUUUUUAAACAAAGUUUUUUUUUUAAAAAAAGAAAGUUUUAUUUUUGACGAUAGGAAAAUUUGUUACCAUAGGAAAGUUUUUUUUUACAAUAGUAACUAACAAUGGAUUGUUGAGAGAGAAACGAUAUAUUUUUUUUGUAUAACAAUAAAUUUAUUUGACAGAAUGCAAAAGAAUAGGAAUUUAUUGGUGAAUUAAGACGAGAGUAUAAUAGGAAGAUAAAGUACAAAAAUCUAUUUUCUUAAUUUGGUGUUAUCAUUCUAACUGGACACUUAUAAAAAAAAUGGAGUAACAAGUUACCAGACAAGCACCUGAAGGUUGCGGAAUCAGACGCAAACUAAGUCAUAGAUAUCAAUCAAUUUUGUUGGCUUUUUGAAAACCUUGAGCAGAUUAAAGUUCCACACAAAAAUUGGUGUGCAGGCCAACAUGAUUAAUCAACCAAACAAGCACAAAUAGACAUAAAUGUGGGACACAUGGAUGUUUGAACGAUAGGGCAAUUAUAAAACUGAAAUUUUAAGAUUUGUGUUCUGUAUAUAAACUAAAUAAAUAAACAGUGUCUAAUUUUUCACCGUCACAAUUGGCACUAUAUAAGCUCAAUGCAACGCAUGUUACAUGUUUUCUAGUAACUAAAAGUUCACUGUUACCACUAAACAUAUAAUAAGAAAUAAUAAUUUAUCAUUAACUUCCAUUAAACCAUUAUCAAGUGAAAUGGUGGAGAGGUUAGGUACUGAUCCUGCUUGGAUUUCCAAUGUCUUUGGCGUAGAUGUGCUGGCACUAGAAGGUCCAAAGUUCUGGUAUCCACCAUGAUUUAUAAACUCUGCAGAGGAUCCUUUUGGCCCAUUACCAUAAUGUUGUAUGCUGGCUGUGGCUGUGGCUGUGGCUAGUCCAUGUUGGCUGUGGCUGUGGCUAGUCCAUGUUGGCUGUGGCUGUAGAUGUGUCCAUGUCUGUGGCUGAGUCCAUGUAGGUGGCUUCCCUAGAUUUGUCGCAUUUACCAGAGUGGUGGCUGGUUUGUGGCCAUCGCUGUGGCUCAGUCCAUGUCUGUGGCUGUGGUUGAGUCCAUAUUUGUGGCUGUGAUGUUUGUGGCUGUGGUUGAGUCCAUAUUUGUGGCUGUGAUGUUUGUGGCUGUGACUGGGGAUGUGUCCAUGUUGGCUGUGGCUGGAGCUGUGUCGAUGUAUGUGGUUGUGGCUGCGGCUGAGGCUGUGUCAAUGUAUGUGGCUGUGGCCGUGUUGGUGGCUUCCCUAGAUUUGUUGCAUUUACCAUAGUGGUCAGUUUGUCCACGCCAUCGGCCACCACUGUCCUGCCAGAACACCCAUCACAAGAUAGAACGCAAGCUACAACAUGCAUAGAGGCUGCUAGGAUGGGAGGAAGAGGACUCCUUGGAUAUGAUACCUGAAAGUGUGUCGAGAUAUAUAAUAAGAAAGGGAAAGAUAUAGCUUUCGCAAUUGUGUAAACUACGAAAAAGUAAAAAUAGGUUUCUUACUUUGUAUAAAAUUGCAGCUGAUAAACGCUCUCUCAAGCAAUAUAACAGAGAAACAUCAAUUGCUUUUGAACCAAAAUAAAGCCAACGGUCCACGAUUAUUCUAACUGUGCUAUCAGGGUUAGACAUGAACUGAUCCUGGUUGUUUCCACUGGAUUUAGUAUCCAACUCCAUUGCAUCAUCACCUCCAGCUUCAUCUUCACUCCCUUCAUCAUCGUCGUCGUCAUCCUCCUCCUCCUUCUUCUGAUCAUUCUCUUCUCCUGGAGCAACAGAAAUCUCGGUUGAAAGAAGCAAGAUUGGAAGUGGUCCAAUAAGACUGCAGUUCCUUAUGUUUACACCCAUAUCACCGCGAGUAAUCUCAUCAAACACAACUAAAGUGUGGCCUAAAUUUUUCUUGAAAGACAACUUAAAAUUUAUGGAACGAUUGUGCACGCGAACUUUAUCGCCACUUGCAGUUUCAAUCAAAGCCCUUUUUGCACCUUUACUUGGAAAACAUAAUCUGCCAAUCAUUGGAUACAUACCAGCAACCAAAACCGCGUGCAGCACACCAGGGUCAUAUGCAUUCAUGCUGUAACUUGAAAUAUCAUCUGAAUGAAUAAACCCAAUUCGGAUAAGUUCCGUUUGGAGCUGCUUACGCAUGCCAGAUAACAUCUUCAUGGCACCUCCAGACACAUAAUAUUGCGAACAAAACCGCGCUUCUAGACCCAUUUCUUUUGAAUUUUUCCAACAUUCAUAUGCAGCUAGUACAGCAAACUGAUCACCAAAUCCCCCAUAUAACGAAGCAAGCUCAGAUUUGGCGUCUUCGGCUCUCUUCUUGUCUUCGGUUAACAUUGGAAUUGUAAAUGGAUCUUUAUAAUCAGAUGCGCAUGCUAGAGUUAAAGCUGGGUCAAGGCAGUUCAUUAAGAUAGCAAAAAACAGCAUCCUGCUGAUCACUGGGUGAACAGGGAGAGAACCAAGCUUCUCUCCAAGAUCAGUAAGUGUUCCAUCGGGUGACAAUGCCCCAAUAUCACGAAGGACUACAAUAGCAUUACGUAUGGAUUCAGAAACCGGUGGAUCUAAUGUCUUGGCAAGAAACUCUUCUAUUUUGCAGCUUGGAUCAAGCACCUUUACCUGUCACAAUAUAUUUUAUAUAAAAUCAAUUCAUCAACAUAUUGGAUCAAUGCCAGGAAAAUUGCAGUAUAUUUUAUAUAAAAUCAAUUCAUCAACGCAUUGCUUGUACCCAAUCAAUUCAUUCACAUGAGUAACAAUAUAAAAGAAAUAGAUCUUCAAGGAAACAUGAAAUAGAGAUUGUAGUAUAUUUUAUAUAAAAUCAAUUCAUUCACAUGAUUAACAAUAUAACAGAAAUAUAUCUUCAAGGAAACAUGAAAUAUAGACUGGUGGAAUUAGUGUGAAUGUCAUGAUUUAGCAUCAAGUCGCAAGUUUUCCCAUUUUUCACAAUUUUUCUUAUUACACUUUUUCCAUUUUUUCACGGAGGAAUAUUAAUAUGCACCAAGAUUUAGAGACACCAAUUAAUGAAGACAAAUACCUGCAGACAUAUCUCCUCAAUAGGCAUUCUCUUAAUUUCUGGAGUCCGAAAGUCUGGCAACGCAGCUGCUCGAAGCUUCGAAUACAAAUGAUAACAAAUUCCAGGUUGACAACGGCCAGCACGUCCCUCUCGUUGCUUGGCACUUGCUUUUGAAAUCCAAGAUGAUUCAAGAGUUGACACAUUGUUAUAAGGAUCGUAACUUUUUUCCUUCAUCCGUCCAGUGUCUAUGACAUACACUAUAUCAUCAAUGGUGACAGCUGUUUCAGCAAUAUUGGUUGAGAGAACAAUUUUGCGGCAUCCAGGAGGUGGGCGCGUAAAAACCUUCCUUUGCUCCAAAAUUGGAACCAUUGAAUGCAGAGAUAUGACUACAAAUUUCGAUGGAUUCAUGAAAAAAGAGGAUGCAAGCAAUUUUUCACGCGCUCUGUUUAUAUCAUCCCAUCCUGGAAGAAAAACAAGGAUGCCUCCAUCUUUUGAAUCAGUACAUAUUUUUCUUAUCAGCUUCUCUAUCAGAACAACGUCAACAAUUUCAGAUCGGACUGUUUCAAGAUAUUUAUCAAGUAAAUUUUGCUCCUCCGUGGAGUUGGAACCAUCCAUGUGCUUUUUUAUUAUUUCAGCAGCUUCUGCUUGGUUUUCCCUUUCAGCAAUCUCUAGCGCAGUUGUUCCGUCUUUGGCCCUUAAAUUGCAAUCUGCCCCAAUAGAUAAGAGCAUGCACAUUUCACAAACUCUACCUCUUCCGGCAAACACCAUUAACGGUGUAAGGCCACUUAAAGAAUGCUGGUAAUUAAAUAGUUCUGGGGUUCCUUCGGAAGAAACCAACUCUAACAGUAGGUCCCACUCAUCAUUAGACCAAGCCAAAUUAAUAGCUUCGUCGAAAGAAAGCUUUUGGUCUUCACUUAUCUCGUGAUUGUUUGUUGGAUUACUAAGUGUGGUAGUAUCAUUAUUGCUUGGUUUUACAGCAAAAAGUACAUCCUCCAAAUAGUAAGUUUUGACCUGAACAAAGAAAUAACAUAUAAGAUUGUAGCAAAAAUGUGAUAACAAAAAGAAUUAGUCAAUUCUCGAUAUACUCUAUAAGUACCGGAUAAGUGAACCCUGGAACUUGGAUAAUUGGGCAGCCCCCAAAAUAUUGAGAGAAUCUUGCAGUAUCAAUGGUAGCACUCAUUAAUAUCUGACAUUAGAACACCAGAAAACAGAUAAAGAUUAAAAAUAGGGGUCAAAAAUGGGAAAUAUUAUGUAUAUGAUUUGAAAAAGAAUUUGACAGUUUGAAAGAGAAAUGGAGAAAGAUAACUACAAAAUGUAAUAGUUUGAACUGACCAGACGUAGAUGCGGAUAUGAAGGGAGCAUGUCUCUGCAUAUAAUUUAUCAAAAAUCAGAAAUAUCAAUCAGAAAAACGUCUUAGACGAGUGAUCUCACAUAAAAUAUUUUUUCUUUGGGAGGGGGGAUUAAAUAUAACGGGAAAGCUAUUGCCACAACGUUGGGCUAAAAUAAGUCUUGGGCUUGUGAAUGACAACUCUACCGUAAAGAUUAUGCUAUUAGAUGCAAAUUAUUUUGGACAAGCUUAACCUACAGCCCAAUUUUAUGCUUGCUUACGCAACGGACAUUUAUAUGUUUGUAUUUAACUAUUAUAUCCCACUAGAAACUAGAAAGUAAAGACUAAUAUGUUGCUUUCAAAUUUAUACCUGAGUAUUGCUAACAUGAAGUCUGAAUAUCUGUCCCUUUCAUGAAUUUCGUCCUGAAAAAGAAACAAAUGUCACCUCCCCUCAGUUUGCAAUACAUAUUGAGCAAGGAUGCACAUACACCAAAAUUCUAUAUGAUAAAGGGUAUGAAAAUGUUUCAAUUCACUUCUUAGUUCUCACUAGUCACACUUAUCAUAUAAGUGCUUAUGUAUAAACUUUUCUAUAAAACAAGAUAAAAAUAAAGUUAAAUGACUUUCAUAUAAGCUAUCCUGCAGAGCCUGUGAAAAUAAAUUGAAAACAGCCUAUACAUGUGUCAUAAGUUAUUUCCACAAGUUCUCUCAAACAGUCUCACAAAUGCUGAUGUCAGUAAAUAAGCUCAAAUAAACUGAUCCAAACAGGAACUUAGUCAACUGGACUAUGAUUUGGACCAUAUAGACACAGUCACUAAUUACAUAAUUCCUUUGCAAUUUUUCACGCAUAAAAAUAUCCAGCAUUGUGCAAUACUAACACCAGUGUCACUAUGUCAGUGAUAACUUUUUUUAGUUUUAGAAUUAAUAAUAUAAAGAUUUCCUACUUUCACCAUCUUCCAUAUAAUGGCAAUCAUGAUGACCAUGACACUAAAACACCUCUGGUAUAGUUAUUCAACUCAAACAUAAAUGGAACCUGUUCAGAGCUCAAAUCAAAUUUCCAUAAUUUACAAACAAAAAAAAAUUAGAAAUUACAUCCAACAAUCUCAUAGAUUUUCCUAGCCAGUUCAAACUUCAAUUAAUCAAUGUAUCUAAGAACAUAACAGUCAUGGCUAACGACCAAUUAACAAGCAUGGUAUAGAAGAAACAUGAGCUUAAAUAUUUACUUAAGAUUAAUACAAUAUGUUUAAGCUUUAGCAGAAGAUAACAAAUAAUUUAGAAGAAGUACCAUAAUGAUGUGAGUGAUGUUAGAAAUUCCGUCCUUCGCAUGCUUCAUCUUUGACGGACCAGAACCUUUAGAAACCAACACCCUUAAUAGAACUCCAGUAGUACAUAGCACAAUAGAUGAUUGCUUUCCACCUUUGCUGUCUAAGCGUAUCUGGAAUGUUUAUUUAAAGUUAGAGGAUAUUGUUAAAUGGAGGAGGAAGAACAAAGACUUUGAAUAAUGUUUGAUUUGAUGAUACAAAAAAAAAAUACAAAGCACUAACCCUUAUUUAAUACGUAUACUAAUACAUGACUCCAGAUCCUAAUAAAAUUGAGGAAGGGAAUUUUUCACUACAGUGGCACUAAUGAGUAAUGACCAUUUUGCAAUGGUCUCAAGUGGGAUUUAAACUCUGUCCCUAAUUAAAUAGGAAAAAAAAAACCGUAACAAUAACUAAGUAAUGGAAACUAAUCACAAUAGAUACUCUAAAAUAAGAAACUAAGCCUAUGAGAUGAUUUAAGGUACUCAUAACAUAAUAUGAAGAAUUGAAGAUAUCAUGAUAUUUUCAUAGCUUCUAACAGUCUCUAUAAGAUAUAAGCCACGGAAUUAUAUAUAAGACAUGUAAAACACUAUAGAUCAUUUCCUCAGUAUCAAUAAAAAAAAUGUUAAGUGCAUUACGGAUAUUUAUCAUGCAACUGCAAGAAAUUGGUUUGAUGAUGAUAACAUCGCUCAACAUUCAGCAAAUAUUUCUAACCAAAAAGUAAUAUGAACAAAGGAUCACAGCACCGCUGCUAUGAAAAUACACAAAUAAAAUUACCUUGUAUCCAAUAUUAUCUCCGGCAGGCUCUCCUCUCUCUUUAGAGAUUCUCUCAGAAACUAGACACGUAAAAGAUGGAAGAAAACAAAUUUUAAUUUACACUGAAACGGGAACAUCAAUAAAAUCAAAGUUUGAAAGAGUUUCACACCUGACAUUGCAGAGAUACGCCGAGGCUGAGUGCAAAGUAUCUUGCAUACCUCGCCCUUACCCCACAUAUGGUCCAAAAUAUAUUGUGGGACCUGAAUCAUGAAUUAAUAUUAAUUAUUAAGUCAAAUAUGAUAUUUCCCAUGGCAUACAAAAGCUAUCAAAAGAUCUUGGUCCAUAUAUAUACAAUAAUUGGAGUACUUGUGGGAGAAACCCAAAAUCCCAAAGCAUCAAGAAAUCAUCAUGUAUCCUCAAUGAUCAAAGCUAGAGUCAAAUAAUCGAGGAUAAAAAUUAAAAGUGGGAGCACAUUAAUAAAUUAUAAGUAAACAAUGGGGAAAAUUCAUAUCAGAAGCUUGCAUAAUAAAAAAAUAUCACCUUUUAAGCAAAACAUUGAUCAUUUUGAAACAGUUGCAGACAAAUUAUAUUAAAAUAAGUUGUACCACAAUAAAGACAAAGCAAAGAAUUGGUAACCUGCGUAGUCUUUCCGCAACCAGUCUCACCAGAAAUGAGAACUACCUGCUUUGAAACACAUGAAAAGAAAAUUAAGAUCAAAACACAUGCAAAAAUACAACCUUCAAAUGUUGAAAUUGGAUUAACAAAAAUCUUUCUAAAAACUAUGUUUGACAUAUUUUACGUGUCAAUGCCAUAUCAGAUAAAAGGCAAAUUUGCAAAGCAAAAGAUGAAAUUAACCUGGUGGGAGUCAACUGUUGAUGUAAUUUCAUCUUUGUAAGAUGCAAUUGGUAGCUUAGAUCUCAACUCAGUGAUCUGUGAACAAAAAUCAAUUAAACGAUUCAAUAAUGAAACUAUUCUUUUGCAAAUUACUACAGAAAAAGUAGUAACAAAGCAAUGCAGCAUCCAUCCAACAAAAUUCAUAUGCACAUGGUCUUUGAAGUUCAAUCGAGAGGGGGGAAAAUGAACCUCUUUCAAGCCAGAUACAGUCUCUCUUCUAGAAACUACUAUUUCCAAUCUCCGAGCAAUUUCAUCUUUGGUCAUAGAGGGACUGCUGAAAAUAUCAUCUGUAUGACGUCUUGCGCUAUGAGUCUUGCCACUAUUUUCUCCAACCAUAUCCUUCAAGUUUCCAUCACCAGGUGGAAAAUGAGCAAAUAAAUCGCCUAAUGCCCUUUUUGACUCUUCCGAAAAUGUGAAAUGGGGAAGACUCUCUAACUUAUUAUCACUCUGAGACUUCUUAGUGACUUUUCGAACAGACAAUCUCCUUUCAUUCCCAGUCCUAUACAAAAGGCAGGUUCAAUAUCAACAACACAGCAUGUAAAAAUUGAACCAAACACAUUCUUCCAUUACCAAUUAUUAUUCCAUUGAGGAAUUGUGCUGUCCUUAGCACUCACUCACCCAGAACUUUUAGAUUUAAACCCCAUUUUUAGGGAUAAUACAUGCACAUAGCGACGGUCGACAUUGGACAAACCAGGUUCAAACUUGUACUCUGCAGAUAACGACAAAAAACACCCAAAUUUCAUAAAUGAAUAGUCAUGCAACAAAUGUUUGGCUUAAAUAUGCAAAUGGUGCCAUUGAAAAAAAUAUUGAUUGUAGUCUUUUUUUUGUCAAGUUGCCUAGUGGCCAGAAUCACACAUUUUAAGUACUCAGGCCCCUACAAAUCAACGUCCCCGGCAGCUACUGAGCAGCACUUACGGAACUCCUAACACUCCUCUUUAUUCAAUGAAGAAUGACCUCAAAAGAAGACAUUAUUCACUGCAAUAUUCAUUAUAGUCCUUGUUUUGUUUUAAUCCUGGGAAUCUAGUCGCUCAAAAUAAGUACUAAAAUGAGCAUUCCAAUGACUAACUUCAAUGUGAUCAGAUUUUGCAUGAACAAAAACAAAACAUCAAGGACUAAAAAGCAAAAAAAAAAAAUGUAUUAUUUGCAAUGACUAAAAACAAACAAAAAUUACAAGAACCAAAAGCAAAAAAUGUAUAUUUGCAUGAACUAAAAUUUUAUUUAAACCUAAAUAUUUUCAUUGGAUCAUAAACUAGCCAAAAAAUAAAAAACAAAUACUCAAACUUGAAAGCUAUGAAGAACGGGAACAGACACGAACACCGGACACAACACGGACCCUGACGGUCGACCCCAAUUAUAAUUUGAGAAAAUAACAUAAUCCAGUGUAAUCAUAAGUGUAAUCAUAAGUGUCGGUGCUGUGUAGGUGUCCGACACCGACGCGUAUCCGACACCCGGACACGCGCUUCAUAGCUUGAAAAUAAAAACAAAUACCUAAAAUUCAUAUAAAUUUAAGAUAAUCAAACAUGAACUGAAGGUAAGCGAGCAACGAGUUGCGCCGCUAACCCUUUUUUGAUGGAAAAUAUUCAAAUAAAACGAAACAUUCAAUUGAUCAGAAAUUUCAUACAAAACCAAUGAACACCAACAACACAAAACAAAACAAAACAAAACAAAACAAAACAAAACAAAAAAAAGAAAGAUUUUUUAUAAUUUUUAUCUGAAAAUGAAACAGCCCAAGUAAUAUUUUAUACAAUAAACGAUGAAAAAGAUAAAGAUUGAGUGUUACCAUCAUCAUUGGAAGCUUGAAACUUUUCCAAAGCCCUUGUUAAACGAAUCCUCGUAGCUUCAGCGAUUUUGGGUAAUGGCUGUCUUUUAUUGUUCUUUUUACUCGGCAUUGAGGAUUGUUGUGAGUGAAUGAAUGAAGCGAGAAGAACGUUUCUUCAAUCUGCCGCUAUAGUUGCUGCUAUUGUUGUUGCUGUGUUUUGUUUAGGAACUCUGUGUUUGUUUAUAUGUCACUUCAAAUUCCAAUUUUUCCCUAACAAAUCAAGAGACUAUAUUUUAUGAGUUUAAUUGAUAUGUCCCGAUGAUCUAAAAUAGUUUUACACGAUCGUCUAAUAAAUAAUCUUUAUUUUUUCAUGUCAAGAAAAUUGGGUAAUGUGGCGGAAAAGAUGGUUGGUAUUGGUUGACAGUGUAAAAUUAUUUUACACUGUCAAUGCAUAUCAAAAUUUUACACCGUCAAUACAUAUCAAUUAAACCUUUUUUUUUUAUUUUUACUUUUUAUUACUUUUUAUUAUUUAUAGUAUAUAUUUUUUUUCAUCACCGGCAUUUAGUCUACUGACCACUUAAAAUCUAGUUCGGAUGAUCUGUUUUAAUAUCAAGUAAUUUCAAUCAUUUCUGAUCACAAUUACGAGAAAUCAAACUGUGAUCCUCCCGAUAAGUUACUAAACCAACGAUUGCUUUAUAGUAUACACUUUUUGCUGAGCAAGUACAUAUAUACUACAUCAUGUCCUUAUAAUAAGAUUUAAUUACGUCAGGUUGUUUUGUGUACUUUUUAUACAUUAUACAUAUAUAAAAAAAUAGAACAACGAUAUAAUUUUUAUUUUUUCUUACAAUAACAACAAUAUAUUUGAUAUCAUAACUAUUUGGUUUAAUAUUUGAUUUUUUGCUGGUUUAAUAAAAUUGGUUUUAUCAAUAAAAAAUUAGCAGCAUAGUUUAUUGCAUGUUUAUUUUUUAUUCUUGUGUAAUAAUUAACUUUAUUUUUUGUUAUAUAAUUUAGUUGCUAGAAAUUUUAUUCUUAAGGUGGGGAAGUAAAGUGUCUGAGGUUCGAAUCUCUGGAUAUACAUCUUAAAUUUAUAUUAUAUUUUUUUUUUUUUUUUNNNNNNNNNNNNNNNNNNNNNNNNNNNNNNNNUGUUCAUAGCUUUGAGAUCGGGAAUCUACAACAUCACUGAGAAAUCAAAUCUCAUUCUGAAAAUGGAGUGUGGAUGUAGAAACCCUAAUCUAAUCUAUAUUAUAUUUUAUUCUAUAUAUUAUGAAGUAUAUUAUGGUCUUGAUGAAGUUCAGUUGGAAAACAUUCAUUUAUAUUUUAACAUAAGGAAACUUGCCUCCAAGGAUUCCAAGCCUGGAUAAAAUAUCGGUACCUACUUUUAUAUUUAUUUGAUUUUUGUCCCUGUAAAAUAAAAUCAUUUAUUUUCAUCCUAGGAUUAUCAAUGGAGGCAUCGUCACUAAUGCGACUAAUUCUUUACAAUCCUGAAGGUCUUCACUCUUCAAUAUCGAAGUGCAUCCUCCAAAUGCACCUUUUAUCAAAGAAUUUUUAUGACGUCCUCACUUUUUAAAACUGGAUCAAAUGAAAUACAGAUGACACUUCCAUUUAUAUAAAUAAAAUUUGAUCUCAUUAAAUAUCAUACAUUUGCAAUUAUAUUUUCAAAACUAUAUAGUAAUAAUAAAAGAAUUGAAAAUAAAGAUUUCGACUCUCCAUAACAACAGACUCCUUUUCUUCAUAGUCGCCGCCCCCACCUUAACCUAGUUUUUUUUCUUCUUGAUCUAUCAAGGAGGGGUGGUUUUAGGGUCAAUUUUUGACCCAAAAUCACCCCUCAUAAUUGUUUUUCUUUUUCUUCUUUAUUUAAAUAAUUGAUCUUCACAUUUAUCAAGUUUUUCUUUUAUGUUUUCUUUUUUGUGAUUUCGACGUCUGAGUGCGGCGUUGUGUUGUUCGUCGUCUUGUGCGACGUUUUUGUUGUCCCGUAUUGUGCGGUGUUCAUUUGAUUUCUAUUGAAAAGAUCGGUUUCAGUCAAUUACAGAUUCAACCAAUGAUUUGGGCUUCAACGCUGCAGAUCCGGAGGCAUGGAUACUGUGAGUUUCAGUCAAUUAUAGAUUUAACUUUAUCAUAUUAUUUGUUGUAGGCAUUUUGCCGUUGUAUGCUAUUAACUCGGAUGCUGUGAGUUUUGUUCGCAGAUUCAUCCUUUACGGUUUUAGCGAUGUUGAUUAUGUGGUUGUAUUUGAUGUAAUCUAUCAAUUUGAAUGAAUGAAUAUCAUUUUGUUAUUGUCAAAAAAAAAGUGGGAAAAAAGAAAGAAAGAUCAAUGAUAGCUUCAUUGCUUUUUAUGAAAAUCACCAUUGAAACUAGCUUCCUUCUCUUUGGGUUUUGUUUAUUUUAAGGGGUUUUGUUUACUGUCACAAACAAAAACUGUUUAUAAUUCAAGAUGGUUUCCUUUAAAAAAAAUCAAGCUAGUUUAAUUAUAAAAUUGAGAGAAUGAAAAGCAAUAAUAUGUUGCAAAUUAUUCAGCUAAGAACCCUAAAAACAAGCAUUUUAAACAUAGUGCCUGCAGUCACUAAUAUAAAAAAAAAAAAAAAAACUUUUUAGAUUCAUCGAAAAACUUUUAUAGGCCAAAUACAUUAGUAUUCGUAAAGUGGUUUUUUUUUUAUAAUAUUGACCGAAGGGAGUAAUAAAUAUUUCGGCAGUGUAACACAAUUUUCGCCCCUUAGAGAUGCACCAAAAAUUCUGGAUGCAUGCUAAAUAAACGGUACUGUGGUAGGACUAAGGCAUGUUAUAAAAAUAUAUUGUUAGCAUCAUAUGUACUUGUCGCUCUUCUCAUUUUCAUUUUUACCCUUCCGCUACUUAAGUAACGGAUGUUAUAAAAAUGAGAAGAAAAAAAAAAUCUCUAACAUGAAAUUUUCAAGAUUUUGCAUGUCUGAUACUUGACCGACGUUAUAAAAAUGAGGGGAAAAAACCCAUAACACGAACUUUUCAAGAUCUUACAUGUCCGCUACUUAGCGGACAAGGAUUUUUCGGUAAUUUUGAAGGGCACAUGAGAAAAUUGGUAGGAUGCCAAAAGAAAUUCUCAUGAGCAAUAGACAAAGGAAUCAGGGAUCACCAAGACAAAAAGAAAUAGUCCACAUGCAUGGUAGGAUCGAAAAGAGAAAUUGGCAAAUAAAGUAAAACUGAACAAAUAAGUAGUUCCUGGCAGUAACUGCUUUUGCAAGUUCCUGGUUGAAAGCUAAGACACCAGUAUAUACACAAUAAGUCAUUGAAUUAAUGUCUUAGGAGUUGGUAUAAGGUAACUUCUGAAUGAAAUGAAACAACAAUUUAUUAUUAAAUUUAUGAAAAGUCACAUGCAUGUUUUGAAAUAAAUGUCUACUUUUGAUGACAGUAAUGGUAUUUACACAAUUGCAAUGAUAAUUAAAAGAUAAAUCAAUUGAAAAUGAGUUUGUCAUCUAAGUUCCUCCAUUGCAGUAAUGGAUGCCAUUGCUAUGCCCAUUUUGGUACUUUUUAUUCAGAUUAUUAAGGCCCCAUAUCCGAAUUGUUCGGUCAUCACUGGCAGAGGCUAACAUGUGAGGAUUAGCUGGAUUCCAACUCACACAAUUAACAGCUCCUGAAUGACCAGGCAAUGCCUCUACUGGCUCGUCCGAGCUUCUGUGCCAUAUGUAAACCUACAAAGAUGGAACAUGAUUGAACUCAAUUUUAAUAAUCGUCGACAUUUUCAUCCAAAUGAACAAAGCUUCAUGACUAAUAAAAUUAUACUAAUCUAAGCUAUAUUUUGUCUCUACCUACAUUCAUAUGAAAUCCGCUAAACAUCACACCUAGAAACAAGUAAAUAUGGAUUUUCUUUUGCAUUAUAGAAAGAUGGGAAACUUAAGGCCAUUAAAAGAAUAAAAAAGAGAACACCAACUCAUUCAACUAUAGAGCAUAGCAGCAGAUUUGUAAGUUAUCAAGUUCCUAGUUUAAUCCUGAUACAGACUAGAAUAAAUAUUACAGAAGCAUGUAAUGUAAGACCUAACAUAUAAAUAAUUGUAGUUGAAUUCGUUCUACUAAUACCGUGACACGAUGACAUCCAAUAUAUUAAAUUAUCAAUCAAACCACAAAGCACCAUUUCAAGGUUCUAUAUGACAAUAUUUAAUGAUCCUUUGUAGCUUGCAUCAAAUCUCACUUAAUCAAAUUAUCUGAUUUGGAAACUAUAGUAUUUUGAUGAUAUAAGACGUAAACAUAUAAGCACCAAAAUAAUUUAUUUUGCAAAUUAUUCUUCAAAGGAUUUUGUUCGUUCUCAUCAAUGAAUAAAGAUCCAUACCUGUGAAUCCUCACUUCCACUAGCAAUGAAAGCUUGCUUAAGUCCACCAAAGCAAGAUCUUAUAAUAAACCUAGAGCGCCUAUGACCUUUGUACUUUCCAACGAGCUUAGGAUCACCUUCAAUAUUCCAUAGAUGUAUUUCUUGGUUCAAAAGAUUAACCAACAAGAAUUUGUUAUCCUUUGACAAAGAAAAAGAAGUUAUUGUCUGAGUUUCUUCAAUAAAUCUCUCAUCAUUUGUUUCUUUAUUGAACAACAAUACUGUAUUGGGUUUACAAAUACUUAGAAUCUCUUUCCCGUCAUCCGUUAUAUCCAAAUCAGAAAUCUUAAGAGAUUUUUGUCCCUUCCAAGACUCUACUUCUUUCCCAUCUAACUCCCACAUGCAAAUGCUCUUGUCACUUAAGCCAGAAAGUAUAUGUUUCCCACUUGGAAACCAUGUACAGGAGACUAGGGCAGCACCAGCUUUUUCAUAAAUUUGGAGACACUUACCAGUAGAGACAUCCCAACGCCUAAUAGACUCCUCCACUCCACAAGUGAGGAGCUCUUCAUCAUUAGGACUCCAUGAAACAGACGAAACGGGUUUCUGGUGACCAGAUAAUCUAUGCUUUACAGACAGCCCAUUUACGCCAACCUUUAAAAAGAAGACCCAGAGUUAAAAUCCAAAACCCAAUGUGGUAGGGUUAAGCCAUACUACACGUGUGUGAACGCACACAUGUGUGAGCAAGCAAUUUUGGGCAUUGAUGAGAGAAGGCUGUGAUUUGAAGGAAAAAAAUUACAACGAGUAUUUCAAAUUGGAACUGAAAAACAUUUUAUCAGUAAACCAAAAAAUAAAAGAACAGAGAAAACAAAUAAAAAUUCUCAGAUCAAAAUCAAAAAUACCUCCCAGAUGAUUGCAGUUUGAUCAUUUGAUGCUGAAGCUAAAUAUUGCCCAUUGUGUGAAAAUUGUACAAACCAGACUUCAUCAUCAUGUGUUUCUAAUAUCUGUUACAAUAUUAGCAAGAAAAGGAAAUAACAUCAGAAUAUAUAUAGCCCUCGAGCUAUAUAGAGAGUAAUGGCAAAGCAGUCACUGUACUAAAUAGAAAAAGGGUUGUACAGAAAGACAAAAUUUUGUCUCGCAAGUACAACUCAUGUGGUAAAAGGCUGCAGAGACAUUUCAUAUACUGGGACGUAGGUUCGGACCCACAAUUCCACAGUUCUCAACACUUAGUGUGCGUGAGUUUCGCCACUACGUUCUUUGAAACCAAAAAAAGUACAAAAUUCGAUUCCUUUUCUCUAUUUUCUCCUCCCUGGCUUUUGGGGUCGGAUUUUCAUAGAAAUCAGAUUAAAAAUAUUAUAGAUGGGAUGAAUGAGAACAUACAUACUCACAUAAAUGGGAACGAGUUUGCAACGAAAAGGCAUUCUAUAGAAUUUCUACUUUUAAGGUUAUUGGGUUCUUAUUAGAGGAAACUCAACACUCUGUGGUAAGAGGUUGGGUAUUGACGAGUCAAUUGCAAAAAACAAAUAUCAAACUAUGGUAUUGGAAAAAUGUGACCUCAUUUUCACUGAAAUGUUAUUUCAAGAAUUGAGAUUUGAAAAAGCAAAAUAGAUGCAAAAUUUUCCUCGUGAGAAUGUUAACCUAAUCUUUCGUGAGAUACCGAGUACAUGCACAUCAUUUCAUCCAAGAGAAGAUUUUAUCUUGUAAUAUCACUACUAAUUUAGUCAAUUCACGUGACCAACUAGCAUGUAUGUCACCAAAUAUAGUUAAUUGGUAUGAUCAAAUCUUAUUCAUCAUUAACAUUCCUUCUAUGCAAAGACAGAAACCAAAAGUAUAGAAAUCACCGGCUUCAACAAUAAUCACAUCCACUUGCAAGAUGCCACAAUUUAGUAUACACAAAAUUUAGUACAUCACAGUAUUAACUUUGUGAUGAAGAAAGAACAAAUAUGAUAACAGUGAAGCAAAAGCAUACAAUGGUCUUAGCAAACAAUGAACCUUUAAACAAAAAAUGUAAAGGAAAAAGAUAGCUAACAGAAAGAGUUCCAGUCCACAACGAGCAAACGAAAAGAGAAUGUCAUUACUGAUUAACAAGUCAGCCAACAAGAAAUAUCUCAAUUUCUUAAAAUAUAUUAAGAAGAAUAGAGAUCAAACAAAAACGCUCACAUGUAAAGCUAACAGCACCAAUUAGAAAUAUCAUUUUCUAACCUGUACUGUUCUAGAAGGUAUCAGUUCUUUUCCACAAUGAUGAUCAGAAUAUAAUGACAUCUUAUCCAUUGAGUUGUGAAAUGGGCAAGUCUCCGUCUGCAAGAUAAGGGCUUGCUCAACCAGAUGUUCCAACCUCUUUUCGGGUAUCAUCACUGUCGGAGGAAGCAGUUUCUGCAAUUCCUCCAGAAGCUUUGACCGAGACCUCACCUUUACUAUAUCUUGCUUAGGUGAUGGAGACACUAAGCAGGAAGAAAGUUCCCGAAUUCUACUACUAUAACUGCAAAGUGGAGUAAUCUCCUCCCUCAAGGUCAUCAAAGCUUCCAUAACCUUUUCCCCAUGUAGAAGUUCAAAGAAUUUCUGUUCCAAUAUCAAACAUGACGCCGAUCUAACAACAUUUUCAUCUGCCAGACCAAUUUUAUGCAAUGUAGCUACACUCUCAUCCCAAUUUCCAUCAAGUACUUGUUGCGUAAACAGAUUCACCCCAGGUGAAUGUAAAGGUAUCCCGGACUCCUCUUCCAGACGCUCACCACUCUUUCUAUAACCAAGCGAAUACAAUGCCUUUGCAAUUAUCCUAACAAAUUCCUCUCUCUUUAUAACCCCUUUAGAACCGACAACUUGUUCGUCCACUUCAGACGGUAGCGGCCGAGCCAUAGAGUUACUAGAGAAACCUCCAACAGUCUCAAGCGUAGAAGAUCCGUUCGACAAGGCAGCUAACCCUUUAGCGGAAACCUUCAUACGUUUCAAAGCUGGUUCUUCAUCGUCCACACCUCCCAUGAAAAGUUCACCUCAGCCCAUAUAUAAUAAUCUCAGCAAUCAGAAAAUCAACACAAUCAAGCAUAUAACCAAAAAAACAACCUCAAAGCAACAAAAUGCCUGCACAGAAAAUAGUCAAACGAAUCAAAACAACAACAGCAACAACAAUAAAUACAUCAAAAUUAACCUAUGAAGCACGGACACGUCGACACCGAUAAUAAUAUGAGAAAAUGACAUAAUUAAGUGUAAUCAUAAGUGUUAGUGUCGUGUCGGUGUCCAAUUCCAACACGGAACACGAGGAGUGUCCGUGCUUCAUAGAAAUUAACCCCUCAAUUAAAGCUAAAACAUCGUACAAAUUCCUCAAACUUAAAUUGCAAACAUAAUAAUCAAAGGUAUAAUGUUUCAACUAAUUUAAUUUCUAUACAGAGAUUGUGUGAUGCAUAACAGAAACUAUAUAAAAUCAAAAUAAUCAUCAUCUAUGCUAAACUAAAAAUUUGCAAAAAAAAUUAAAUUUAAAAAAAAAAAAUGCAAAUUCCAGUUAACAAACUAAAAUUGAUCAAGAUGAUAAUAAUAAUAACUGAAAAACAAUAUGAUGAUGAUGAUGAUGAUGAAUCGACAUGAAAAUGAACAGAUCCAAUAAAUUGAGAAUGAUUAUUAGAAAAUAAAGUGAUAAAGAAGCAUCCACCGACUUACAGAAGAAGAAAGAGAGAAACGAUCGGAAUCGGAGUUUGAGGUGCGAUCGUGAGUUCAAUCAACACCGUCGAUUCCUUCUUCUUCGCACCUUCGAUUCUUGUUAUUCAGUUACAAAAACCACAAAACGCUGAAACUGAAAAUUCUCAAACCUUUCUUCUUAUUAAUUAUUUCAUUUCACCAAAAUGAUCGAUGAUAUAUAGAUAUAGAUAAAAUAAUAUAUAUUAUUAUAUUAUAUACUUUUUUUAAUAAAUGAAACUUUUAUCCGAAUUGUUAGUAAUUGUUUAUUUUAUUAUUGGAUUUCACUUUUCUUUGUUUGUUGUUUUUCUGUUUUGGCUUUGUAUCUAUGAUUUUAACUUCUUCUUCUUCUUCACGUUUUGUGAAAUGACAAUUACUACCCUUGAGUUACAGUUUGUUUGUAUAUAUACCUUCCUUGUUUCUUAAACUAUUACGUCUUUGUGUUCUUACUUCUUCUUCUUCUUCUAUACGAAACUUUCUUCAAUUUAUUAUAAUAAUCAUCAUCAUAAUCUUCCACGUUUGAAAUCUGAAUAAUGUUGUUCUAUUUUUUCAUUUUAUAAGGUUUGAAUAAUAAUGUUGUAAGUUGUUGGAUGUAAUUAAGUAAACUGGGUGGGUAGUUAACGUACAUCUCUACGUAUAUUGGUACGUUACACAAAAUGGAAUCGUGGUGGAGUCAUUAACACUUGAUAAUAAUAAUAAUUAACAUGCAAUGUCAGGCUUACUUUUUUUUAUAUAAAGCUAUUUUUUACAUUUUGUUUUAUGACUUAUAAUUUAAAAGAUCUGUUUGGUAACAGUUUUUUCACAAAGAGUUUUUAGCUUAUUUUACUAACUUUUAGCUUCUUUUUGAGAAGCUAUUUCAAGUAGCUUCUGAGCUCAUAACUUCUAGCUUUUCAUUUUUUCUUCCUCUUUUACCCUUAUUAUUUUAACUAAAAUCCAUAUUUACCCUUUAUAAUUUAUUAUCAUUAGAAUUUAAAAUAAAAUAAGUAAAUACAUGUUUUAACGUUGUUUCUUUUAAAAUCACAUAUAUAUAGUAUGUUUUAACGUUGCCUUAUUAUCUAUUUUCAAAUAUGAAGGCUAAAUCAUUUUUUUUAUCAAUUCAUAGGUACGUACCUUAUUAUAAUUUUUUUUUUGAAAUAACGUAUCUUACUAUAAUUAACCAUUAUACUAUAUUGUGAAUAUAUUUUGUUGUUAUUUUUUAUAAAGUAUAUCAACUGAAAGGAAAAUAAUUUUUUUAAAAAAAAUUCAGCAUAUAAAAAUUAGUUUAAUAAUAAUAUUUGAAAGAUAUAUUUAUUGAAUUAAUAAACUUAAAAUAUUGUCCCAAAAAAAUAAAAUUAAAUUAAAAUAUUAAAUUAUAAGUAUCUUAAAUAGUAUUAAUUUGGUUAAAAAAAUAAUUGAAUUAAAGAUGUCUUUUUAUGUCAUUUUACAUUUAUCAGUCAGUUGAACCGCUAAUUUUACCAGACACUUCAAUCAGCUAGAAGCUAUCAGCCAGAAGCUAUCAGCUAGCUUAUCAGUCAUAAGCUAUUUUUGCCAAACAAAGCCUUACCGGGUUGAAUCAAAAUAUUUUUAUAGUUUUUUUUCAUACCUUAACAUCAUUUUUAUGAUUCUGAAAAAUCAUAAUUUUUAAUAGUUAUAGUGAUCUUACCUGAUGAUCAGAGAAGGUUGAUAAUCAGAUAAAUUGUUGUUGAAUAAUCCACGGAGGGGGGUUUGUACCAGAGAAGAUACAAAUUUAAGCUAGGUUAAGAAUGAGAAUCGAAUAUACUAUAUAAAGGAGGGUAUUUAUAGUUCCCCGGUGCUGGGCCAAAGAUCCAUUAAUGGGCCGUGUUGAACAGUUCAUUAAGAGUGACUGCCAGGAUUUCUCCUUGGAUGGAGGAAAAGACUGUUCGUGGUCUUUAUCCUGGGCAAGUUUCAGGAGAUAAUAUAUAUUGCUCUAUUUUAAAUGUAAGUAAAAAAUAAAGUAUUUGGUAUAAAUUUUUAUAUACAACAAAUUUUUGUUAGGGAGUCCCGGGAAAAACAAUGGGUCAAUACUCCAGAACCACAAGAGAGGGAGACGCCAUAUCUCCACCUAAAAAUUUAAGGCAUUAGGUUAAUAGGUCACAUCUCUUAUAAAUCAAGAGUUGAUGUGAGACUUAACCAUUCACACUUGAAAUCCAACAUUUUUCACUCAUCUUAAGAUAUAAAGUGUUAAAGAGUUUUUCUCUUUGCUACUUACUAACAAUGAAUUUAUCAAAGUGUUAAAAGAGUUUUGGAUAACUUAAACAUAAUUUCAUCUCCGAUUUUUUUUGUCAAAUAGCUUAGUAACUAGACUUAAAUUUAAAUUUGGAGAAAUGUGAAAUCCGAGUUCGAACCUUAUGAAAAAUAUUAGGUUAAAAAUGAAGAAUUCACUUUGUAUACUCCACUACCUAUAAUACGACCUAAUUUUUAAUCUAAGUGGUUUUAAUAUUAUGGAUUUAGAUUUAGAUUACUGUACAUUUGACAAGCUACACAAUCUAAACGUGACAUUAAUUUCACACGAUUUGUGUUUCAAGUAACUUUUGUAUAUUUUAGAUCUAUCUUUACUUUCUACUUAAUUGCAUGAACGCAGAACAUUAGAAUUGUGAGUGUUUGUCACACCUAUUUGGCAUUUAUGAAAAGGGUACUAAUUUUGGACCAAACAGGAAGCAUGAUACCUUUGUUUGUAGGGAAAAGCACUUUAAUAUAUGUCAAUACUUUUUCCAACAAUGAACUUGGCUGAAUCAUUUACAGUACUAUUUCCAAUUAUGAAUUGCAUUUGUUUCAUGAACUAAGGCUUGAUAUCUUGCACAUUAAUUGUUUCAUGAUCAAUCAACUUCAUACACACACUACUUUCAUUGCCAUAAAUUUUUUGUGAAAUUUCUUUAAAGCAUAGUACAUUAGUACUUUAUAUGAACAAAGACACUAAAAGGCAUACAUAAAACUUUGUUGCAUCAUUUGUGAUCUGGAUUAUACCUGAUCGAAUGACAACUGCGUCUUCUCCUGUGUUGAAAGUCAAUUAUAUGUAUGUAAUUAAUAUUAUUAUUAUUAUUAUUAUUGUGUCAUCAAGCUAAGUAGGAAUAUUCUAAAUUAGGAUAUAACUAUGUAUAUAGAGAAAGUUAAGGCCUAGGGAGAUCACAGAAUUAUCUCCACUUAAUUUCUGUCAUGAUUAGCAUAAUCUUUUUCCUGUUUUAGAGUCCUAGUUCAGUCUAUAAAUUGGUGUAAUGUACAGAGAAAAUAAUCAAGCAAAUACAUUUCAUUCUAUUGUGUUUCUUCUUAUAUCCUGAUUCUAGCUUGAACAACAAUUCAGGACCUUGCAAUUUUUGCAAAGAAAAUUGCAUUGCCAGAAACAUUGACUGGUCAAUAUUUUUAUUUACACUCUGUUCAAGGAUAAUAACUAAAGAUGGUAGCCAACUCAUACUUGUCAACUGUUCACAAAUCAAAAGCAAGAAACUCACAUCACAUCUAUGCGACUAUGCGCAAUAAGGCCUCUCUAGUUGCACUUUGUACAUCACCAUUUGCAUUACGGCACAAAAACACAAGCUCACGAAAUAAAUGCUCUUGACAUAUAAGAAAGUAGCUCUAUGCAAAGACAAAGUGUUCUUCAUGCGGGUGCUUCAUAGCAUCAAAUAAGUUGAAGUGAAUAACACGCUUCCCAAACUCGAUAGAAAGUGUCCCUGCAUAAACAUCAAUUUUAGCUCUGGUGUGUUAAUAAGUCAUACAUCAGUUGUGAUAUGGUAUGACUAAGUGUUUAUAAAUUAGAGGCAAUCCUCACCUUACAAGCCGGUUUUGUAAGGAUGAGUUAGGCCCAAUAUUCAUUUCUAAGAUGAUAUCAGAGUCUAUCCAUGAUUCGUUUGGCCACUUCGUUGGGUCGCCUGCAAUCAGGUUUCUGAUCGGGCCCUCCGCCUUUCAUAUCCGCGCCUCAAGCCCUAUGCUCCUGAGACCGUUUGAUCCAUCUCGACGGUUCUCAUCCUCCCCAAGGCCAGCUAUUGUCAGUUGACAUAGACAGUUAUAACCAUCUUCCCCUAUAUAAAGGCAAGUUUUUGUGCCAAGGUACACAAUCCAAUCACUUUCACAUCACUCUCUGGAUCACAUAUUGACUUGAGCGUUGGAGUGUUAAUGUGUUUUGCAGGUACUUCCCCGCCGUGAUUCACCAUACGUGAACUCCAUUUCCACCGUAACUGUCUCAAGCCUCGCCAUCAGAAUCAUCUAGUUCUAAUCAUAUCGAAUCACAUUCAUAUUCCAUAAAGACAUGUGUGUUCAAGUAGAAGUUUUGUCAUCAAUGUGAGAACAUCGGUAAGAUAAUAUGCAAGUAUAUAUGUUGAUACUCUAAUUACUCUCUGAGCCUUGAGAGUUGAGAGUUUUCUAACUCUGAUCUGAUUAACAUCUUGAGACCAAACUCAUCUAAACAUUUUUUUAUUAACAAAAAGAAACUUGAAAUUCUUAAAAUAGAAAAGAAACUAGAGUUUGUUUUUACAAUGCCAUGCAAAUUAAGUAUCCUGAUACCAAGUCCACUUAAUGAAACUUAUUAACAAAAGGGACUCUAGAAAACUCAAAACAGACAUAGCACUUGAAGUUGAUUUACAAAUUACAUAUGCAGCACAUAUAACAGAAUCCUCUCUUAAAUUUCUUAAGCAACACUGAAAGAAUUUGCUGUACUCUCCACAAAUCUUCUUGCUCCUUUAAACCACCUCUUGUCUCCAGCUUGAGCUUUGCAAAUGUAUAACUUUCCAUCUUUCACAGUUGCUCUAAUUAUUUGAUGCUUGCCACCUUCAUCUCCAUCAGCAGUUCUUGUCAACACAGACAAAACAUAGUACUUUUUCCCAUCAAUCUCAGGUGUUGAACUUUCCAGGAUGUUUGCUGUGGCAACAGCGUUCGGAUCGAAACCACCCUGAGGAUUUGAAGUUCAUACUCAUUUAGAAUUAUAAGAAAUGAUUUUAGGUGUAUUUGUGUUUAGUUGUUGGUUGCUUACCUCGGCUUGCGUUUCGCCGAAGAAGGCCUGCUUUCCUAGUAAAUAAUUCACCUGCAAAGUGGAAAAAUCAAGUUUUGAUCUUGAGUUUCAACCACCAAGUAGCAACUAUUGUCAUUGUCUUAAAAAAUUCACAUAGACAUUAUUCUUUAUGAAUGGUAGGAACUUGGUAAGUACAAAUUUAAGAUAAGUGUAUUUUUGGUAUCACGGUGGAUAUUUCAUAAUCACGGUGACCCACGUGAUUCUGAUACAUCCACUGUGAUACACCGAUACCAAACAUAGACUUAAAAAAAACCACUCUAGUUUCGUAGUACUAGUUUACCUGAGAAAGAAAUUCCUCAGGUGAACCAUAGUCAGUGAUGGACUUCUUAUCAGUUGGAGUCACAGUGACAACGACAUUGCUAGUCGAAUCGAAGUUGUCUUCAUAUCUAACAACUUGACCUGUGUAUUCAACCUCUUUGCUAGGGUUCCACUUUGAGGGAACUGAUAAUUUGAAUCCAUCUCCAUUGUAUGGUAGGAAGUCUGUGUUUGUCUUUGGUUUUCCAAACACAUUGGCUGCAAGCAAAACAAUCCUUUUGCUUAUAAGCAAAAAAGAAAGGUUAUAAAUGUUUGUUGGUCUAAUACAAGAUAUAAGCAAAUUCUUACUAUCUUCACCCUAUUUAGGCCUUGUUUGGAUAAACAACUUAAUUUGCAUAAACAACUUAAUUGUAGCUUAUACAUAGCCUUAUUUAUCAUGAUAAGUACUUAUGUAUAAGUUCUUUCAAUACAAAAGAUAAAAUAAGUUAAAUUGUUUUCGUAUAAUCUAUAAAUUGUUUUCAUAUACUAUGUUGGAGAGCUUAUGAAAAUAAGUUGAAAUCAACUUAUGAACAUAAGUUCUCCUAAAUAGUCACACACGUGUUUAUGCCAGUAGAUAACUCAAAAAAGUCGAUCCAUAAAACUCUUAAUGUUAUCGUUCUCAAUCUAUCCUUCAAUUUACUGAUAUUUAAGUCAUGAUCAGGGAGUAUAUGGUUUCCUAAAGCAUUAAACUAUAAGUGAUCUUUCCAAUAUAAAAGUUAUACGGUUAGAGUUGGAGUAUUUUGUUUUUAAGCAAGAGUUCGGCAGGUAGGUAAUACAGAGUUCGGCCGCGACUCUAACUCUUUAUUAACCCUAAAGCAUUAAACUAACAAAAUACCCCAACUCUAUAACAUAUAUACCACUCUAACUCUUUAUUAACCCUCUCAGAGGAAUGUAAUAAAGAGUUCGGCUACGAGGUAAGUAAAGUCUGGCCAAAAGUGAUUUCCACAAGGAACUGAACUGGGAUUCUCCCGAACAAUUCAUCCUAAAGAGAGCUCAUUAACUACCUUUUUUUUUUAAUCAAAGUUCAUUAACUACUUAAACUCAACUUAUUGGUUUACCAUAAAGAAUACAAUUUGAUUAUGAGAAAGAAAGAAAGUAAAAUACCAGAUUGACCAUAGGCUGCAUGAGCAGGUGAGACCUUAGAACCAACAGCAGCAGUACCAAUAAGAACAGUUAGAGCUAACCGACGAGAGACUAUGCUGCUGCUGCAAUGAUCAUCCUCUUGAUCAAUUGCAUGCUUCUGAUUCUGAGCCUUGCAAACAAGAAACUGGUUUGGCUUAUGGCGUUGUGAUGAGAAUUUGGUAUUUGUAGUAAGUGCAGGGUGAGACAAGAAACAUUGAAUAGAAGAAGCCAUUGAAUUUGUGUAGCUAUAGCUUAACUAUCACACUCUCUUUGUUUGUUCUGUUGAUCAAAAGUUUGGUGAUUAAUUUAAGACAACGUUGUGAAGUUGGAAUUUAGUGUAGAAUGUUCGAGUAUUUUCUGUACUGUUGUGUGACAAUGACAAUGAGAUUGUGGUUGGUUGGUUUUGGAUUUUGUGUUACAAGUGGAUGCAUGGUUGGUUGGAUAAGGUAGUAAUGGCUCUCAUUGGUGCCAUGUCAUAUUGUCAUGCCAUGCAUAUGUAUUUCUAUGUCAUUUUCUUCAUGUCAAAAAAUAGUGCAGUCAUGCACUCGUCGAGUUUUAGGUUAUUCAAUUUUGAUCGGACAACUUAUAUUUUAUUUCAAAAUUCUAUAUUAAACAAAAAUAAAAAUUGUCAUAAAAUCUGAAUUAUUUGAUUUUGAUAGGAAUAUUAUGAAUUGCUGACUACAUCGGUUGCUUGCAGACCCGACCGCACUUAAUCCAAUUUCGUUUGAAAUACUUGAAGUUGAAGAGGAUAUUGUCAUCUCCCGAUUUACUUGGUUUAUGCGAUAUAUUUCAUGCAUGUGUUUGGAUCAGCGGUGAGACUUAAGAGUGACAAAUGGGCAAAUUUAAUGUUGGAAAAACUGCACUUUAUAAUUUCAUAAAAUCAUUGUGGUUCACCGUGACUUUUCAAUAUCACCGCUUAUUUAAACAUGCAUAAAGUUUAGUUUGUGUUUCUUUAUAUAGUGAUGCUAAGGUAUAUAUAUUUAAUUUGUAAAAGAUAAGUACACGACACAUAGAACAAUACAUGACAAACUUUUAAGGUUUUGAAUAAAUUUAUAUCAUCUUUUACUAUAUUUAAUGAACAAAAAAUUAUUUUAAUAUUUUAGAUAAUUUGUAUUUGAAACAAAAAGUAGUUAUAUAAUUUAUUUAUUUUUGAUUGAUAGACGAAAUGGCAAAAUCAUUGAAAACUCACACACACAAAAUUGUUAUAUAAUUUACUAAAUGUCAAUAAUGUCAAUCUCAUAUUAGAAGAAAUACACUCUUAUGUUAGUAGAAAAUUCCCUUUCAUCUCUCUAAAAAACUCUCCUAUCUAUUUCCAAACAAAGUUUUAGUCAUCUUAAGAAUUUGAAAAUGGAUACAUUAAUCCCACCACCUACCUCUAUCCAUAAAUGAUCCUUUAAUUGCUUAAAGGAUAACAAGAGAGUGAGAAGAAGAAGAAGAAAUGACCAAUUUUGGGAGAAAGAGACUCUACAAUUAGAUUUAAAAAUUCAAAAUAUUCUUUAUAAUUUAAUUUCGAGUAUAAACAUUUUUUUUAAUUAUUCAAUUACUAAAUAAAAUGUCCCACUAGACACAUACAGGGUGAGGAUUGUCUCUCGUGACAAUCCCACUUGAUAUGGUUCAGUAUUGAUCCAAAUCUUUCGUUCUUUUUUUUUUUUUAUGAUUGUACUAUGUGAAAACAAAAAAAUUUGAAUGGUCAAGAUUUCAAUGGAGAAAUAUUUUACGGAAGAGAAUCCCUACAGACCUACACAUACCAACACCAACUUAAAAAGUAAACGCAUUUAAGAAUAAAUAUUCAUUUGUAGAUAGAGAGAUAAAAAAAAAAUUAUCUAUAAGGUCUAGUUUAAUCACAUUAUCAAUAUUGUUAAAUUGAGUAUUUUCAAUUAGAUUCAAUUUCAAAACUUCACAAUCUCGUAUGUGAAUUUAUGAUAGUAUUUGUCAUUUAUCAUCUACAAAAGAAAAAUUAAUGUUAUUGAUAAAUUAUAACUUAACCGAUAAAAAUGACGAAAUUAUUAGAUCGAAUACUAUGAUCGAAGUUCGAAUUUUAAUUUUUCACUUUAUUAUGUGUGAAUUUUCAAUAGUUUUGAUUUUAUUUAUCUAAAAAAUAUGUCACGUUUUAAAAUUUUAGACUAAAAGUUGAGUUUUUUUUAAAGCAAAAGUUGAGUUCUUUUCUAUGGGCCCAAAAUGGAAUAUUUCCAACUUUAUUUAAUUUAAUUUCCUAAAAUAUAUACAUUAUUGCCUACUCUGCCACACCACACCCAUUUUCUCUUAAAUUAAUUAUCUUUGCUUCACUGUGUUCACAUCACUUCAUUCAGUUCAGUGCUCUUUAGCCUCAAUUUCUCUCUGCUCAUUCUGGUUUGAUCCACAAUCCCAUUCAUUUUCAUCUCUUUCAUUUCACUUUCUUUCAGCUUUUUUCAUCUAUUCAUGCUUCUUACAUGUUUGUUCUAUUGUCUCAUUUACUUCAUCUCUUCAAUUAUUUUUGUGAUUUGUUGUUUUCUACACUGUGAGUUAUUCAAUUAGCUGAAAAACUGUUCAUUUAGGUUUUUGCAUGUGUUUGUUGGAAGGAAAUUGAAUUUGACUUUGAAUUUCAUUGAUCUAUGCUAUUAUAUGUCAAAUGCAUUUCCUUUAAGCCUCUGAAUUGUAAAAGAUAAGAGAUAAAUUGAAAAGAAAAAUUUGGGGUUGCCCCUUUUGCUUUUCUGCUUUCAAAGUUUCAAUUUUUUUUUUUUAAAAAUGUUUUUUUUUUCUUUCUUUCUUUUUCUAGUAAUUAUUGAUCCUGGUUUGUCAAGUUUGCUUUGAGACUAAAGAUAAUUUUUUUUAACCAAGACAUUGGACUUAAGUGGUUAAUGAGUUCUCCCUAGGAUGAAUGGUUCGGGGUAACCCGAGUUCGAUUCCUGGUGGAAACAAUUCGUGGUCAGGCUUUAAUUACCUCCCGGCCUACCAUAAAAAAAAAACAUUUUUUUAUUGGUGGUAGUAUUUUUUUUAAUACUUUUUCACUUUUAGGUGUUUUGUGAUGUUUUGCACAAAUGAAAAGCAAAUGGGAACAUGGUUUAACUCACGUAUGUGUCGCUGAUCCUUGAUAUUGCAGAAAAUUGGGGUCAAAUAUGGUUACUGCAACCUCAAUGUGGUUGGAGAGAUAUAAAAAAUUUGAUAUGUUGCCACUACAAUUGUGGUUGCAGAUCGUUUUUUAAAACCUUGAGUGGGAAUACUGUCUUGAGCUUUUGGCUCGGGACAAGUUUUUGGAGUUCAAUUUUCUUGUUAUUGGUUGUGGUUUGUGCUUUGAAAAUGGAUAACACAUAACAUAGUAAGGUUAUUAUAUCGAUUAACCAUGUAAAUUUGAUCAAGUUUCUGCACAGUCUAGUCAAUUGCAGGAUUCAUGAAGACUAGCAUGUGGUGUGUGUGUGACUGUGUGUUGACUUGAUCCUAAUGGACUUAUCUUUUCCUAAAGAUCGAUUGUUAAUGUUUACUUUUACUAUCGAGUUUUCAUUUGAACUUUGAAGACUUUUUUGUGAAGCAAAUUACAAAAGUCACAGGUUUUCAUGUUUAAGUUUGAUAUCUUUUUUGUUUGAGUAAGUUUGUUUGUAACGAAUGAAUGCCUUAUAGGCUUUUGUGGAAGGGAUCAUUGAGAAAUAUACUAUUAUGUAAUUCAAAAUGUAUUUGUGAAUGUUGACUUUAUAGUUAACUAUACAAUCUUCUCUAAUGUCAUGAUUUUGGGGGAAAAUGCUUGAAUCCCUUACAUCUCUUACAUUCGCUUUAUGUUUGUUGAUUUCUCCAUAUAUGGUGAUUGUCGUUGCAAUGGUGUUAGGCAUGAUAGCCAUUACAUACAACAUUUAUGACGUUCUUUUUAUCGUUAGAUUUUCAGGAACAAUGUCUGAGAAAACUACAGCCGAAAAGCUUCUAAACACCCUCGUGGAAACACUAGAGAAGCAAAAAUCUGGAUCAUUCUUUGAGAAGCAAAACUCUGGGUCAUUCUUUGAGAAGCAAAAAUCUGGAUCAUUCUUUGAGAAGCAAAACUCUGGAUCAUUCUUUGAAGAUGUGACGGCAAACUCAAUGACCUCCCAGUUCAAUAAAUUGUUUGGACGCGAGAAACCUGUGCACCAUAUUUUAGGCGGUGGAAAAUGUAUGACAAUGGCAAUUCUAGUGAAUUUCCUGUAAAAUCUUUCAUAUUGGCUUCAGCUUUUAAAUCUGUUUUCUUUUUUACCCUUUGAAUGUUAUAGCUGCUGAUGUCUUGUUAUGGAGGAACAAGAAGAUCUCUGCUAGCGUUUUAACCGCUGCAACAGCUAUUUGGGUGCUUUUUGAAUGGCUUAAUUAUAAUUUCCUAUCUCUUCUAUUCCUUGCCCUGGUUCUUGUCUUGUCUGUACAGUUUCUUUGGACAAAUGCUUCCACCAUGUUUAGCAGGUUGUCGAAGCAUCCUUGAAUUUCUUCCUGUGUUGCCUUAUUCUUAUAUAAUACUUUACAGAUUUUAUAAUACUUUCUCUUUUUUCUGUGGUGACAGGAAGCCAUCUAAAGCUCCUCGUUUGGUUCUCCCAGAAGAUUUAUUUGUAAAUAUCGCAACUGCGGUUGGUACUGAGGUUAACCGUGGUUUAAGGGUUCUUCAAAAUGUUUCAUGUGGAGGAAACUUGAAGCAAUUUGUUCUUGUAUGUUUACUCUUAUGUUUUCUUGCCUUUGUAUUUUCAUUGAUAAUCCAUAUUCAUGCUUAAAAACAUCUAUCUCCGUCCCAAUAUAGGACUCUCUUGAGAUUUUUCACUAUCACUUUUUAUAGGCCCCUUUCAAAUUUUCAACUGUAUUAAUUAUUUCUUUACCAACAUUCCCCUAAUUAUGUUGUAUCUUUUUCUGCAACUUGUAAUAAAUAUUAUCAUAAAAGCAUAAAGGAAAAACAAUAUCAUGUGAUUUAGUCAACGAGGUCUUAUAUUUAGGGAUGGAGGUAGUAGUUUUUAAGUUGAAAAUCAAAAACAUUGAUUGAAUUUGUGAUAAUGCUUAAAACAUCUGUAGGCUGUAGUAGGCUUAUGGGCUGGUGCUGUGCUUGGGAGCUGGUGCAAUUUCUUGACUGUCAUGUAUAUCGGUAAGAGAUCUUCCUCCUUCUCUGUCGAUAGAAUGUGUUGGCCAUAAUAUUUCCAAGUUAUUAAGUUAGGUCACGUUUGCAAAGCAUAUUUUAAAUUUCAAUUAUCCUACAAAUCUUAUCGUUAAAUAAUUAAAUAGUUGAAACUGUAAAAAUAGUAUUUUAUAUAAGUUAUCUUGAUUCCAAUUGCAUAGUAUGAAAAAUUAAAGAAAAACUGAACAAAGAGAGAAGAGAGCAUGGAGAAUGUUUCUAAACUGUGAAAUUAACAAUCCAAUUCACAUAGUUUACUAAAUUAUACAUGUGUUUGUGUGUGGUCAUGUGGAUAGUAUAACAUAAAUAACACACACAUUUUUAAGUGUUUCAUGGUAAUAGAUCAUAUGAAGAACCAAAUCUUGUAAUCAAUACGUUAGUCAAUGUUGAUGUAUAUUAUACUGUGAGAAUGGAUGAUAUUAAGAAGUUCAACGGCGAUGUUUUCUAGUCAAUGUUAUUUUGGUCAUACUUGAAUUUGAUUGCUAUAAUUUUGUGUUAUGUCCUAAGGUUUUGUUGCUGCACAUACUCUCCCGGUUCUCUACGAAAAGUAUGACGAUCAGAUUGAUAACUUCGUGUACAAGGUAAUUGAUCAGAUGCAAACUCAGUAUAAGAAGGUGGAUUCUGGUUUGCUUAGCAAAAUCCCCAAGGGAAAUAUCAAAGAAAAGAAGGUUGAAUAGGUUCAUGUUUAUGUAGAUGGUUUGAUUUUUAAUAUCCAUUUCUCACUUGUGAUGAAAUUGGGACACAACUGAAUUUGUUGCUUCUACUUUGACUCUAAUAUUUUCUAUGUUGGAGUCUUCAAAAUUUGUGCUAUGUUCAUUAUUGACUCAUUGGUGGAAAGUAGAAACCACAAUAAUUUCCUUAAACUCCAUCAUGUUUUUAGAUUAUAGUGGUUGGCAUAAUAUUUUAAGGGUCAUGUUAAACGGUGCACCCGGUGCACUUGUUAAGCAUACCUAAAAUAGAAAUAAAACAUAAAGGAUAAUCUCAUAUUUUUCUUAAAAAUGUUUUUUUGACAGUUGCUUUCAUAUCAUGUCCCACAUGUUUGGGUCAUCCACCAUAUCUUGUGGUCUGAAACAAACUAUGAUGCGAGGACCGCUACUUCUGCCCCCCAUCCCCCACCUCUCUCACACACCCACUUUCCCUUUGAAUUUUUUAAAAAUACCUUGUUCGGAUUCUAGAAUCCAAAAUUAUGUUUAGAUUCUAGAAUCUAAACCUAUGUUUAUUGAGACAAUUCAAUUUUCUUAGGUUGUUUACGUUGUUUUAGAUAUGAAUGCACUUCGUGAUUCUCCCGUUGAUGAGAAGUUAGAAAUUGUCAAAUUGCACUUAAAGUUGUGGAUUUUUCCCAUUGGUGCGAAUUCAGACAUUGUAGAACUUUAGCUCUCUUUGCAUGAGCGAACUGAUCCACAAUUUUAGAUGCAAUUUUUGGCUCUGCAACAACAGAAGAAUCAUGAUGAGCAUCUAUAUCUUGAAACAACGUAAACAACUUAAUUUCGGUCUUUCUUUAUUUUGCUCUUUCAACAUUGACAAAAUAUUUCUAUGCGGGGCCAAAUUCCUUGUCAUCUCAGUAACAAACUCUUUCUCUUUCGGCUUUAAACUUCCGGCAAUAAUAUGACAUUCUAACCAUUUGUCCAACUUAUGAUUGUGUAAGCCACACAACCGUAAGAUUCCAUUAUUGUGAUGCCAGAAAAUAACCUUGAAGUCUAAAUGGACAUUCACAUGUUCUUGUUUUGGUCUUUUCAGAUUUUGACUUCUUGUUGGUUGGUUUGUAUGCGCCACCCCUCUUACAACCCAACACAAAAUAUUGUUUCUUCUAAACGAACCGUAGUCGGGUUUAUCAAUAUUCGGUUUCAAUUCAUCGGGAGGUUUUCAUUUAUCAACCAUAACUACAAAUAAAUGACAAAACAUAUAAACAUCAACACAUAUCACAUAAUGCAUGUCAAAGAUACAAAACUUGCGGAAAAUUGCAGGUCUGGGCAAAGUUCAGAAUCUGUUUUCCGAACCAAAUCAGUUUCCAAUGCAAAAAUAUUAUAACAUCAAGGAAUGCACAAAGGAAUCAGUAGAAAACUAAGAUUAUCUUUAUGUUUGAGUCUAAAUGAGUGUGGAAACCACUUGACAAUGCUCCAAUGUCGGUUUUAGACCCCAAAUCCAAUAAAAAACGAAAACUUUUUUGAGAGAAAUUUAGAUUAAGUAUAGAUGAAGUGGAAUACAUUGGGUAAUAUCUGGUGUGUAUAAAGGACCAGUUCGAAAAAUAGAAUAUGAACCUAAGCGAACAGAAAAUGGAUUCCGAACUAGAAAAUGGUUGAGAACGUAGUUUAUGAACUAAGCUCCUAUGGGCAAAAACGAAAUUUCAGGGGGUCUGGGAGAAAGAUGGGGGGGGGGGGAUNNNNNNNNNNNNNNGGGAUUAUAAUUCACACAUUAAAGUUUCGAGUUCGAAUCCGAGUAAAAACGUCUAACCUAAUAAUAUUAUCAUUUUCAGUUGAAUUGAGAUUUACCGCCAAAACAUAAUGUUAUUCUAUUGUAUAAAAAGAGAGAUAGUUUAUUUGUUUGGCUACAAAGAAAGAUAAGUUAUUUUAUUAGGUAGGAUUAUAUGCACCAAAGUUUCAUAUACUACCUAUUAAAAUUUUGAAAAGUCAGAAGGGAAAUGAAAGUUCUGAAACAAGCACAUGCAUUACACAGUUGCAACCCUUUUCCUCUACACAAGAGGUCACAUUUGGCCAAAAAACUAAACCUAUCUUAACCCUUUGGCCUUUUGCAUUAACAUUCACCUUUUGAGAACUUAUUUGGUAUAUAUAUCAUUAUCCAUGUCAUCUAAAAUGUGCAUGUGACAAUAAAACUCAGGCGUGUGUGUAACCUCUUAAUACCACAUGUUGAAUGUGGUAUGCAACAAGAAGCCAUGAGUUUUGCUCAAGUUAUGGGCCAUAUUUGUCCAUCAUGUCAAAUUGUAUGGAGAGAAACCUAAACACCUCAGCCAUUGCCUCCUUUGCACUCUUAAAGAAUGUUUUAGUUUUAACAAGAAAACAAAACCAAAAUUUAAGUGCCUUAAUUGUGGUAGAGAAAGCAAAUAAAGCAAACAUAGCUUUCUAACAAUCUUGAAUAUAUUUAAAUUGUCCCAUUUAUGGUAUGAGAUUAUGAAUUACACGUUUUACUCAAAUGUUGCUUUUAGAAAUUUGAUUAAAACAAUAAAACAUGAUUGAAUGUAUGUAUUUUUUUUUAUAGUAUAUAUUAUAUAAGUGUUGGAGUAGAUGUCAUCUUAAAUUGUUUUGUCUAUAGUUCAGUAGUAAGAAUUUAAAUUUGUAAUUUCAAGAAUUUAGUUUAGUGGUAGAAAUGUAGGUUUUAAAUUCGGAGGUUCUGAGUUCAAGUCUUGUUAGUGCUCUUGAAAGAAGAUAAUAUAAUUAUCUUUAUAAGUGUUUUAAGAGCUCUAAGCUAAUUUGUUGGAGUUUAAAAUUGUACAAUCUUAUCUUCAUCGGACAAUUGAAAUUAGACAACUGUGCAAUUACAUAAUUUCGUAGACUGCAUAGAAUACGAGUUCAUUACCAAUCGUUAAUUGAUCUAACGGUGAUUGACGCUGGACUUGGUAGGGAGGACCACAGUGCGAUCCCCGCAAUUGUGAUCGGGAGGAGACUAGAACCAUUUGAUGUCAGAACUGACCUCCAAACCAGAUUAGACGUUCCAAUGAACCGGAUAAUGAUGGUGUAAACCAAAAAAUAAAACAAGAAAAAAGAAAGGGAAAAAAACGAAUACGGGUCCAUUUUUUACUGCAGUAAAUUUGAGUAAAACUUUAAGUGUAUAAAUAAGGUGGUUUUGAAGACUCAUUACCUCAUCUUGAGUCCAACACAUUUACUUCACAUUAAAACCAAGGACACUCUAUUCUCUAUAACAUUUUUGUGCUACAAUGGUUGUCUCAACUUCCAUGGAAUCUAGUCUUCCCAUGUUUCUCAUGGGAAAUCACUUGGCUGCAACUGAAUUCCUUAGCUUUUGCAACCAAAGUAAGCGUGAAGGCGAUGACGAUGAUGGCGACAUCGAUAUAGCGCCGGCAGCAUAGUUGAUUUGGCACCACAUGUAGCAAGGUUAUGAGGAAGCACACAUGAGGUGAGAAAUGAAGAGUUAUAGCUAGCACUUGUGUUUGUGUUGUGCUGCAUUUGUAGAGAAUAAGAGAUGGUGUAUUUAUUUAUAUAGUAGUAAGUAAUUAAUCUAUCUGUGUAAGCUUCUAUUAAUCUAUUAUGUUUGUUUUCACUGAAAUUUAUAUUACAACAAUAUAUAGUAGUAGUUGUGUUCUGGUUUAUUUUAUGGCAUAAUCUAUUAUAUUGUGUUCUGUUUCCAUUAAGUUUUGAUAUUUAACAUUACACCUCAUCAUCAACCUAAGAUGUCAUAUAUAGUCCUCAUAAUAUAUAUUUUUUGGUACAUAACUCAUAAUAUUUUUUUUUUAAUCUUUUGCACUCUGCAGUAAGUUACAAAUUCAUUGAACAAUUUGCUAGUAUAUUGUUUUCUUUCCCCUAAUUCUCAAACAAAGAGGGCUAUAAAUGUAUAUUGAACCAUUUUGCAGAGCUGAAAUUAAAUUUUCCUAUUGAUAGUUUGAUAUUUGUCAGUUUUUAAUGGCUAUUGUCAUUUUUGUCAAUCUAAAAAAAUUAAAAUACUCAAGUGAUUAGUAAUGGAAAGAAUAAUACCAUUAUCCAAAUUAAGCAAGGUAUUGACAAUGAGACAACUGCAGCUUUCUAAUUAA
RNAcentral lists this long non-coding RNA (65447 nucleotides) under Trifolium pratense (red clover). RNAcentral's name for it is "long non-coding RNA (TPRA_LNC012074)". Lineage: Eukaryota; Viridiplantae; Streptophyta; Magnoliopsida; Fabales; Fabaceae. The record is from RNAcentral.